Molecule: long non-coding RNA, 76332 nt
Filed under: Setaria viridis
Lineage: Eukaryota; Viridiplantae; Streptophyta; Magnoliopsida; Poales; Poaceae
Description: long non-coding RNA (SVIR_LNC010032)
Source: RNAcentral
UUUUUUUUUGGUUGGGUGUGACCAUGGUCCCUGCCCAGUUCCGGGCCACAGGAAGGCUCCUCCGCCUGCAGGAUGGAUGAGACAUCCAAAUUUUGUAUCCUAGCUAAAGUGCACCACAAAUAUUAAUAUUAAUAUUCUCGUAUAUAUGCCUAUUACAAACUUGUUUCUUGUUAACGCCAAACAUGAAUUGAAGGCAGUUUACAAUUAAUUUGCAAAAAGAUAAAAGAGGACUGUGGGCAGAGCAUCAUCAGUUGUAGACGCAGCUGCCGUCGUCGCUUCUGGCUGUUGGGUCGAAGUUGCCGGCCUUUGGGUCGGUGCACCCCUCGGGCACGGGCACGCCCACCUGCUGCGCCGCCUUGCCGUAGUACAAGUUGCCGGCGGUGAUGGCUUCGUCGUGGUUGGCGUCGCCGAGCGCCGCCUCGCUGAGGUACUUGUCGGCCAGCUGCACGCGCUUGACGUUCUCCUGCUCCGCCACCAGCAUGUGGCCGUACUCGAGCAGCUUCUCCAGCGUCAUCUUGGGCUGCUGGAACGUCGGCGGGCCCUCCCUGGAGUUGACGAGCUUCCGGCCGAUGUUCUCGAUGCCGGUCUCGGCGACCCACCGGCGCACCUCGUCGUCGUACACCCGGGCUCGCAGCGCGCCGAAGAAGUCGAUGGACUGCCCCGGGAAGGUGUCGACGAGCUUCACGACGGCCUCGUCGGGGACGCCGUCGGUGCGGAAGAUGCCCUUGCAGACUCCUAUCCUAUCCUCGCGGGUGGGCGCCCAGUAGAACUUGUCCAUGCGGCCGUCGCGGAUGAGCGGCGCGUACAGCGUGGAGAAGUCGUUGCCGGUGACGACGAUGGGGACACGGGGGUUCUCCUCCUUGUUGUACAUGCCGGGGAGCUGCACGUUGGUGGGGUUGUCGGCGAUGUUCAUCAGGGUGGCGUUCACCAUCUGGUUGUUCACCGUGUACUGCGUGGUGCCGCCCAUGCGCCCGGCGCCGGCGUCGAGGUCGUUGAUGAAGAGCACGCACAUCCUGCCCUUGCUGAUGAUGUCGGCGGCCUCGCGGUAGCGCUGGCGGAUGAGCUUGGCGGGCUCGCCGGCGUUGCCGCUCUCCAGCUCGCCGGCGCUCAUCAUGACGGGGUUGAUGCCCAUCUUGGCGAAGACGAGCUCGCACUGGAAGGACUUGCCCUGGCCCUUGCCGCCCCAGAUGCCCAGGAUGAGGGGCACCUUGAUGUUGGGCAGGGACAUGAAGUUCUUGGCGAUGUGGACCACCAGCUUGUCCAUGAACGCCGGAGCGAUGUAGUAGCCGUCCAUCAUGUUGUCCAGGUUGUACUGACGGAGACCCUGGCUGAGGUACUCGUAGGAGCUGAGCACGGCCUCGUGGGUGCCGUCGCCCAUGGGCGCCUGGAACAGGGAGUCCACCAGGCCCUUGCCGCGAGUGAUGUCCUGCUGGUCGUCGGAGAUGUCGUGGGCGAGGCCCCUCCACCUGUCGCUCUCGGUCUGCUUGGUCUCGUCCACGGCCUCCUUCUUACUAUUGCUGGCCGACGCCGCCAUCGCCAUGACGACGACUCUGCUUCGACGGUGCUGCUUCCUGGUGGUGAUGAGCUUCUUCUUCUUCUUCCCAACGCCGAGGAAGCUGCUCGGCGUCGAGGCCAAAUUUAAAGCAGCAGCAGCAGCCAUCUCGAUCGAUCGAUCUCAAGAUUAUUGGACGUACAAAUUGAAUGGGAUUGAAGAUGAUGACGAUGAGUUGUAGUAUAUAUAGCAGGGUAAAGAUAUGCAGCUGCUAAAUUGAUGAGCAGGCAGUAGCUAGUGUGGUCUGGAUCCUUCCCGAUUGCUCACUGGAUCUCCAGAACGUUAACGAACAAGUGUGCAGUGGUGGCCUGGUGGGUACGUGAGGCUGAUGAGUGGCCAACAUGUUAGUACGUCCAUCCAAACACUGCUAUCCCAGCCUGACAUGCGUACGCUGUCGAUCGGAUGGGCCGCGUGGGCCCCCACCCUGGAUUUAGCAUUUGAGUACCGCUCUAUCCAUCCAUCCUGUUUUAGCACAGCUUUUUUUAAGUGUUUAUAAUAAUUCUUACUAUAUAUCUUGUAUGUCUAAGAAAAAAAAUCAAAACAAACUACAGUUUAAAAUGGAGGGAAUAUUUAGCAAAAAAAAAUAGGCCAUGUUUGGACCGCAUAUACCGGCUCCAGGGAUCGCCAAAAUGAUUGAGCAAGAACCGAGGGUUUACUGAACCCUUGCAUUAACCCUCAAUCUAUGAGCUUAGUGCGCUAAGGUCGUUGGGUUGGGGAAAAAACUCAUCUUUAGUCGUACUUGCAUUGGAUGGUUCUUAGCGAUUUCAAGAUUAGCCGCUAGACGAUCGCAUAACCUUUGAUCUAACGGAUGACCACCGGGAGCCUUGUUUCUACUCUUUUGUCACGUUUUAGAUACUUGAGUCUCGAGGCUUUUGUCAAGAGAGAACGAAUUGAAGGAUCCAUACAGCUUUUACAAAGCAUGAGAAUCGAAAUUGGUGAUCAUCUCCACGGAAGGGGAGAAGACGACAGGGUAUGCAUGGCGAGCUCAGCAGCUGGCUGCAACGAGCUCUCUGCCGCAGCACGCAGCAGCUGGCGUGCUCCUCGAUCUAGAUAGAUUGUAACGUUUUCGUCAGCGCCCCUCGAUGCCGCCCUGGCUCUCCAUCGGAGUUCCUUUCUCCACUUCCGGUCACAUCAAUCUCCAUCGGCGGCUGUGGCUCACGGCUUCGCCGGAGGUGCCGGAGAGUCCAUUUGUCCAGGCCUCGCCGGCGUGGAGCGAGCGAGCGACCGACGACCUGGGGACGUCGGCGUUCACCCGGAACGCCGCGUGGGAGAGGAGAGGCGACAAAGAAAAAAAAAAAAGGGAAGCGUCAAGAGUACUGGUCGUUUUCUCCCUCUAUCUGAGGAGUGUUGAAAAGAAUUAUUGGAAUGGAACAAACCAAAAAAUAUUGAAAAAAAGAAGAUGCAUUUCCAAUACUAGUCGUUUUUUUGGGAAAGAGAGACCUUUUUUUUGAGGGGGGAAAAGAGAGACUGAUGCUCUGAGGAAUUGAGGAAACACAGGUACCAAAAAAAGAAGAGGGAGAAAACACAAGCCGGGCCUUAACGGGCGGCCAGGCUAUGGCCCGCUAAGGCACGGCCCGUUAAGGCCCGCUCGGGGUCCCCAUCCCACCACGCGCCCCUCCCAAGCCCAUGGGUCGUGGCUGGACUUAUGGGGGGAUCAUUCAUGGGGCAGCAGCUUCUCAUUUCUAGGACUCUGUUUCUGAUAUUGUUCCCGCUGCAUCUGCUCAUCCCCAUGGUGAAUGUUGCUGUUGAUCUGUAGAUUGGAUUUGUUGGUCGGUAGUUUGAUUAGAUUUGUGCUGAAUCAUAAUCUCUGCCUGUGAUAUUUUUCUUCAUUGCGGAUGUGUGCCGAGUAUUAUCCCCUUUGUUCAUUCUGUUGGCUUGCUUUCAUUGAUCUUAAGAUAACUGGUGUCAUAAAUUCACACUAGCUGAUGCACUUGCAGAUAGCUAUGUAAAUAUGAAAAAGAAGUAUUUUUUUUUAUCCUUUUGUUUUUUUUGCAUCAUAUCUGUUUAAAGGUACAGCAUUAGGAUUUUUUUUUGUUUCUGGGGAAUCAUAUCUGCUUAAAUGGUAUAGAAAAUGCUGAGCGUACUGUCAAAUAGAUUUUCCAGCAGUCUGCUUUCAGUUGUUUGCCGCGCAUUCACUGGGGAAGCACGCGCCAGGCAUCACCAGGCUCCUCGUGCCCCUGCUCUGCUCCAAGGACUCGGUGCUUCGACGCGCUGCUUUCCCUGUCAUUGUUAUGUUGAUAUUGGUUUACACGUGUCAUUCACCCCAAAUGGUGUUGCAAGGUUGAACCUAUUGUGGGAGGCUUUUGGUUUCCCUUGACCAAGUAUCACUAGUGAUAUCACUGCGUUCUGGUUAUGUAUGAAACACUUGUCUUUUUAAAACCUUUCUGAAUUUAGAAACGAAUUUGAAACCUUGGUUAUUCAUCAUGGGUUCACAGAUUUGUUUUUCUUUAAAAGAAUUGGGAAGUAGCUUUCUUUCUGGGUAUAUGUGGGGAAAUGCAUAUGCAAUCUUUUAUUUAUUGAGGUGACUGUAAAAUUCUUGUCUGACUGAAUAUGCGAUUUCAACCUACAUGCUAUACUUAGGGAAAUUUGUGAAUCUCCUAAUGUGGCUUAUAUGUGUGGAGUCACUUAACCUAUGCACUUGGACCUCCACGUUUUAUGAACCUAAUUUGACAGCCUGCUCGUCUUUUAUUUUCUACCAAUCAGCUAGGAACGAACAUGGUGAUGUUUGCAUCUCUGCCAUCAAUGGCUUACAUGUCAUUAUGUAUCACAUUAGCAAGUCUUGUUUUGUUAUUGGGCGGGAUGACGGGGACACUGGCUGGAAUUAAAUCAAAGUGGUAGAUCACAGGGUAUUCAUUGCCAUGUAUUUCUGCAGUUGCAUGGACUUGCAUCAAACGGACCUCCCUACUUAUGUGAUUGUCCUAUAUGAUCUCCUUUGAUUUCAUUUGCAUAGAGCUAUGUACACUGUAAUCACAUUAGCUAGAACACUCGCUUUUUGCUUCAAAUUUGAAAUUCAUACCAUGAUGGACUUGAACGCUGAAUUUCUUGAUUGCUGAGUUAGUAAUCACAUUGUGGCGCUGCCACAGAAGCUGGACUCUUCAUUGUUGUUGCCUUGUGGGCUGCCGUGUGCAAAGAACAAGAGCGCACGGUAUUAUAAUAGCAGAGCAGAACACAGACAAGCGACAAGGAGCGGAGCAGAGCAGAGCACAGCCAAGCACAAGCAGUAGAGUAGAGCAGAGCAACCGGGAGAGGAGAGGGCACAUAUGCAGAGUAGAGCAGAGCCAAGCGCAAGCAUUCAUGCACUCAAGCAUGCAGCAGAGGUGUAGCAAGGCAAGCACAAGCAGCAGAGCAGAGGGAAGGGAAGGCUGGGAGAUGAAUAGGCGAAUAGUUAGUUACCUGGACAGAGCAGAGGGAAUGGAGAUGAUGCAGAUGCUUCCGGAGACUGGAGAUUUGGAGAGGAACAAGGCCACGUUGUGAACAAGGUCUCCUUUCUCUUCUCUAUUUCCCGUGCAAUACUCGUGCAUAGUGGCUGCCUCAUCCUCCAGGACGCCCACUUCAACCUGAGGCGGGUGCCACAGAUAUCCUGGCUAGGCGACGGCUAUCCCCAGCACGCCCCAGCGCCUUACGAACUAUGAUCCUAAUACUAUAAAUUGUCACGUACUCACCUUGUAAUCUUGUUUCAAGCAUGCUCUAUAUGUCAACCUGUAAGGUUAACUUCGUUUUUCCUUUUCUGGGUAGGGAAGUGGAUAUUGCUGUUAUUUAUGUUAUGUUGAUAUUGGUUUCCACAUGUCAUUCAUCCCAAAUGUGUUGCAAGGUUGAACCUAUCAUCGGAGGAAUUUUUUUCCCUUGACCUUUAUAUCACUACGCUCUGGUUAUGUAUGAAACGCUUGUCUUCUUAAAAACCUUAAUUUAGAAACGAAUUUGAAAUAUUAUCUUCGUUUACAUCCUGUAUAUGUGUUCUCUACCUUUUGUCCUAUAUUACCUUUUGUCCUAUAUGAUCUGCUUUGAUUUCAUUUGUGCAUAGUUUUUUCAAUUCAGACCUGGUGAUUUCUGAGGUUGAUGUGUCACACCCGAUUUUAAGAGUGCAUUAAAUACAUGUGCGCCAGGAUCAAGUUACACACAUGUACGACAUAAGCAAAUAUCAAAGACAGUGCCAUAACGAAAUAAAGAGAGUAUUAAUCAUUAUUACAUGAUCGAAAGUCUCAAAUAAACCACAAAGUCUAUUUAUUAUGCAGCGGAACUCCUAAGAUAGCAACGUCUCCAUAGGCAGCUGACUGAAGAACUGUACGCCUAGAACUUCUCAAAAUUGUGCAGGUACUCCUCCAAAUUAGCUUGGUCUGAAUAGCGGUUUUGCAAGGGUGAGUACAUUUAUGGUUGAUACUCAACAAGUCGUGGGAAACAGUGUAGUGUAAAGCAAAUCAAGGUAUGGCUAAGGCUUAAACAGCAUCAGCUUUUAAUUUAGUUGGUCAAAUUUUAUUAGCAAUUAACUAGAUGUAAGUUUAUACCACCCAAAAUUAAACAAGAACAUGAAUAAAAUAAUAACAUAACCAUAAAUGAAAUGACAAUAAUUUAAAUCCAUCUUUCGAUAGCAUUAUCAUGUGAGCAAUUUUUUCCCCUUGACCUUUAUAUCACUACACUCUGGUUAUGUAUGAAACACUUGUCUUCUUAAAAAUCUUAAUUUAGAAACGAAUUUGAAGCAUUAUCUUCAUUUACAUCCUGUAUAUGUGUUUUCUACCUUUUGUCCUAUAUGAUCUGCUUUGAUUUAAUUUGUGCAUAGUUUUUUCAAUUCAGACCAAUUUCUGAGGUUCAUGUUGUGCUGAUAAGCAGCCUACUAUUCAAUAACACUUUCAUGUGGCAUGUUCAUGUUAGCUAGCUAGAAACACUGUGCUUUUAGCUUCAAAAUUCAAAUUCAUGAUAUUAUGGACAUUGACAAUGAAUUUCUUGAUUGCUAAGCUAUGUACACUGUAAUCAAAUUGUGGGGCUGAUAAAAUAAGUAGCGUUGAGACACAUAACAAUUGAAUCUUAAGCUUCACACAGAAUCUGGACUAGUCAUCCUCAUUCUUGUCAUGCUGGAAAUGUCUUUGAUACAUUUCAAUCACAGGCAAUUGAAUUCGUACUGGGGAGGAUGGCAAUGGUGCGUGAAGAGAGAUCAAUGUGGCAAAUCUCACACUGUUCAUUACCAGGUAUCUCUGAUUUCUGGUUAUUUUAAAUUUACCUUGACAUGUGACUUAUUGAGGUAGUGUAUUUCAUCUAAUGGUAGUUCUGAAUUUAUGGUAACCUUGGAUGGGGUUUGUCACUUUAUCCACGCACGGACUUACAAAGGACAGCAAAUGACUAUUUUUACAGGGCUCCUGUCUAACCAUGGACUAUACUUUAUGUACCCUUUUUUGACAUGGUAAUUUGAGGUUAAUGGAAAAGUAGCAUAUUUUCCCUGUAGUUACCUUGGGUUUACUUUCGCAUUGUUUUUUUACAGAGUUUGCAACCAGUGUUUCAUUAUCAGAUGAACGCAAGCAGAGGGUAUCACUCGUGGAGAGCCUUGGCGUUGCAGAGCAGUCCCACUCCAACUUGUAGAUAGUAUAUAUUCCCUCUGUUCUAAAAUGUAAGGUAUUUUGAUUUUUUUAGAUAUAUAGAUUCUACUAUGCUAACCUGAUAACCCCAUAAUCCAUCCUGAGGAAAAACCAGGCUAAGAAUAAGUGCUUUCAUGACAUUUAAAUGUCCUGGAAAGUCUUGUUUUGUUUAUAUGCUUAAGCAAAGUAGCUCUGGAGGGCAUGAAAGAAAAGCAUCGUGUUGAUGAGUAUUGCUGGAUGUUUAACUAUUAGUAUGGUAUAUUUAACUGAACAAGGCCUAGGACAGCACAAGGAUGGCCUUUAGGACAGCAUUGCUUUCUCGGCCUAAUUGGCGCCUUACAUUUGGCGACCAUACACGGCCCGUUAAGGAAAUUUAUGCCCAAGUUUGCCGAAGCAUUUAAGGCACAAAUGUUUUUGACUUCUGAUGGCCUGUUUUUGACCUCCCAUGGCCCAGUAGCGACCCUAGUUUUUAUCAGCAAUGACCAAAUGUUAGCCCAGUUUUGCCCCAUCUUAGGGUCUAAUCAUGGACCAAUAAAACAUGUGCUAGACUUCAUGGCCACCGGAUGCGUGUUCGGCCACGUAAUCGUGUGCUAUAGCUCACGGGAGGCUGAAAAUGGCCUGAAGGGGCACAGUGGAUGAAAACGUUAGGGACGCUCGGAACACAAGAAAAUGACCACCAGAUACGUGUUUGGCCAUUGUAACUGUGCGCUAUAGUUGAUAGGUCGAAAGCGGCUUGAAGAGGCAUCAGUGAUGGAAACAUGGGGGAUGGUCGGAACACUUGAAAAUGGCACUGGAUAAGUGUGCUUAUUCCUUGCGGGAUGCUGAAAAUGGCUUGGAAGGGUCAUCUAGGAUGGAAACUAGGUGGACAAUAAGUGAAAAUGGGCAGCGGACACGUGUUCGGUCAUGUAACCGUGUGCUAUAGUCCACUAGAGGUCGGAAAACUGCCCUAGGGACUCUAGAGAUGAAAAUGUGAGGAACAGCUGAAAGGUUACGUGUUUGGCCAUGACAGCCCUAUUAGGAAGCGAUAGAAGUGGAAAGAUAGCUGGUUUCAUAUUGGCAUCCCAUCUCUGAACUUUUGCUUCCCCCUUCCCUCCGUAAUCCCGGGGCAUCGAAUUAAAAAGUAUACAAAUCACUUUCAGAUGUAAUUGAGGGUAAAGAGGGGAGGUUUCACGAGACUCUACAAUGUUCAAAUCAUUCGUUCGUUAGGAUGCCUCAGCUUCAUACAUUGUUGCACUUCCACUUGACACCUAUUUAAAUGGUUCGUCUCGCUGCUACAAGGUAUCAUCAGAUAUAGAAGAAUCAGAGACCGGGGGUAAUAGCAAAAAAGGAAUAUAACUCGUCUGAGGAAGUGGGCGCAGGGGCAGUGGGGUAAGGUAAUUGAAGUAACUAGCCAGUUUCUUCCCGAAACUUUCCAAGAAAAAUUCCGAAUUGGAUCCAAAAUUGACGGAUUAAUCAACCAAAAUAACCGUGAGCAGCCACAAUGUUAUAAAUGUUAUAAGUCCCUUCUUCUUGACCAAAUUUGUAACUCUUAUUAGCAGACUCAUUUUUAGUGGUUUCCCUGAUCAAACUAGAGGUUACCAAGGAACCGUGUGCUAUAGCCCACAGAUGCCUGGAAACAGCUAGGAAGGGCUUCGGGGAUGGAAACAACGUGGACGGUCGGAACACGUGAGAAUGACCACGGGAUACAUGUUUGGCCCUGUAACAGUGUGCUAUAGGAAGCCGGAAAUGGCUAGGAGGGUCACCAGGGAUGAAGAUGCAGGGAUGGAUGGAACAUGUGAAAAUGACCACUAGUGGUUAGUGGCAGGUCUAGAGAGAUAUCUCAUCAAAUUGGUGAGUUAUAUCCGGUUUAAACGAGGAUAAAAAUGGGUGUAUUUUCCACUCAUCAUAUUGUCUUUUCGUAGCUGUACCGCCUUUCGUGUGUUGUAUUGUUCCCCAAACACUAAGUCUCCGAGGCUUGAGAAAAUAAGGAAAGUGAUAGCAGCCCAAAAAUUGACCAAGUUUCUUUCCCCCUCUGGCUUUCUACUAGGAUUCAGAAUCCUCUUUUCCAUGACAAUCUUAAUUAUCUCCCAUACUCCAAAACUCACAAAAACAUCAAGAGUCCGCUGAGAAUAAAUUUAAGUAAAAAACAUGCACACAUAGAUCCACAUCCAAUGGCAAGGAAAGGGGCGUCAGACAAAGCCCAAUGGCAACUGCUGACAUGCGAUUAAAUUCAGAUCCACAUCCGGCCAUUCAAUAAUACGGUUGGAGUUGUGGCACAGAUAUAUUAUUGCAUGAUCAUCAAGAUAAGAUCGUACAGUGACUGAGUGAGACAAUAAAUAGCCAAGUAAACUAUUUUAUCCUGCUGCAAGCUGCAUUCAUAAGUUUAUUUCACCUUUGAUCACAAUACUCUUCACACACGUACGUCUCAGGGAGAUCUCACUUCCGCUGGACUGCUCACUUCCGCUGUCGUCGGUACUGCCAAAGACAUAAGCUCACAUCUGCUAUUGCGGAGCAGGCCAAUUUGCUGCGGAACUUCGGCGACGACCUGAAGGACAUGAACUCGGUGCUGGAGUCCAUCUCAGCAGCGCUCUAGGACGCUGACACCGGUAGAAAAACGACCUUCCAUCGUCAACAAAAAUCCCGGUAGCUUUUUUACUCGGUACUAAAGAGGUUUUAAUCUCGUGCAAACACCUUUAGUCCAGAUUGCUAUUACCACGCAACCCGGACUAAAGCGUCCCCCGCGAGUUAGUAUAUAAGGAUUGCAUCCUUUACUCAGUCAGAUAUAAUAUGUAGGUGAGAUGGUAAGGAAGCUAUGCGUGAGGCUUCAGGUUGUGGGUUCGAAUCCAAGUGGGUGCAGCUGUGGCUUAAGCGGCUGAGGCACGCCGCCAUAGACAUCUCAGAUUUGCUCGAAGACUACCAAGACACUAGUGAACCCUUAACAGUAAAGGUGAGUACUUAUGAAUGUCAGCAUCCAUGUUGUCCAUGCUUCCAAUGUAAUAACAAGAUGGACUACUCUUCCUAGCGGACUCUUCACAACCACUCGUAAAGCUAUGCGUUUCUCAAUGCAAUUUCGUAGAAGCCAAUCGAUCCAACCAAGUGACUAAAUCAUUCGUCCUUUCCAAUGAUGUGCAUCAGGUUUUCUAUAUGAAGGGCAUGUCUAGCAAACCUAAGAUUUCAGAAGAAAAAGAAAAAUCAUUGGAGCCAAAGAGCCACAUAGUUCUUCUAGGAAAAAAAUCAUGGGAGUCGAGAACAUAUCAAACCAAUCAGGGGAUUAUGGUCAGCUUAAUGGCAUGCCUCCAUUCGAUGUCGAAGUUCACCCAAGCAUCAUGUUAGCCAAACAUCAAAUGUUCGUGCGUUGUUACGGUAAAGAUCAAUUGUGUUUUUUAAACUCUUGGAAUUUUUUUAUCUAAGUUUUUAUUUACACUUAUUGGAUGUCUACACAUUUGCUAGAAAACUAAAAUAAUUUGGACUUAAUUAUUUCUUUCAACUGAAGUACUCACUAAAUUUCUACCUUUUUAUUUAAGCAAGAGAGUUGCUAAAAAAAAUGGAUACGUAACCAUGUUGUAUCAUACAAAGUAACCACGUUUCACAUAUAGUCCGGCUUAGCAAACACCAUUGUUUUCUGAACAUAGCGUACAUGAGUUAACAGACAUGGAUUUAUUUCUAUUGCAAGUAGCAUAGCGUACAACCUGCCUGCACCGAUGCAGCUCAAUAUGCGAUAAUUUUUAUCUUCCCAUGUAAUUUUUCUACUCUAGUACAUAUUGAACUCCACAUUAAUGUCAUGUUCUUUCGCGCCCCAGAAGGUUCCUAAAGUUUGGAAACUUAAUAGAUAGCCAGAAUUUUUUUUAAAGAUAUUUAUAUGGAUACUUGUAUGUUCUUUCCAAACUAACAAUAUUGUUUACCAAUAUCAGAAGGAAUAUGGUUAGGAGCCAUUGCCGCAUAUGGCAGGUGAUGGUAGAUGGCGUAUGGGGUUUCGUUAAUUUAAUGGUAUAAUAAGCUGAAAUACAUUUUCUAUUUGCAAAUGAAUCAUAGCUGAAAUUGGUGGGAUUGUUUUUUUCGCCGGUUUAGCAUCCUGUGCACCAGUUCAACCGGAGGGAAGCUGUUUUUUUUCUUUGGUUUUCCACCGGUUCACCGAGACCGAUGACAAUUUUAUGGCAGAAUCAUUACUUGUUUUACUAUUAGGUGAAGAUUUUAGCGUUUAGGUAUCUCACAUUAAACGCAACUUCAACAAUCUAUUUCUAGUGUAUAAUGUAGGAGACCCCGUAAAGAGUCUACACACACAUAUAUGUUGACUAUGAAUGUAAGUUUGUUGGUUUUAUGUAUGUUCGUUUGGAGUUUAUGUAAAUUUUACAUUUUAUAGUUUUGUGUAUAUGACGAAGAUCCAUGACUUGCAUUAAUUUAGCCUUUCUUCCAACAACUCUUAUGCAUGCUGUUUCUAGGCGAGCGUACUGGUUGCAAUUUUGGUCCCCGAUAUAGUGUGAGGACUUAAGGGACACGUGCAGGUCGUAACCUUAGAUAUUUUUGCUGAGAAUGGAUGAAGAAGCAAUAAUAUACUUUGCUUCUGAUUUUCUCCAUGUCAUUUGCUUACUCUUAUCCCUUUUAUUUAUCAUUAUAAGAUGAAAAUAUUGUAAAAACUUGGCUACGUGCGGUCGCAGAAGCUAGAGACUAAAGCGUCCCCCACGAGUUACUAUAUAAAAGGAUUGCAUCCUCUACUCAGUCAUAUGUACUGUGUAGGUGAGAUGGUAAGGAAGCUAUGUGUGAGGCUUGAGGUUGUAGGUUCGAAUCCCACGCACCGCGUGCGCAUGCGCAUAUUUUGCGUGAAAAAUCGCAUGACUUGUGGUCGGCCAAGGAGAAGUGCGUGCGGCUGAGGCACGCCGCCAUAGACAUCUCGGAUUUGCUCCAAGACUACCAAGACACUAGCGAACCCUUAACGGCAAAGUUGAGUACUUACGCGUGUUAGCAUCUAUGUUGUCCAUGCUUCCAAUGCAAUAACAAGAAGGGCUACUCAUCCUAGCGGAUUCUUCACAACCACUCGUAAAGCUAUGCGUUUCUCAAUGCAAUUUCGUAGAUGUCAAUCGAUCCAACCAAGCGACUGAAUCAUUCGUCCUUGCUAAUGAUGUGCAUCAGGUUUUCUAUAUGAAGAACAUGUCUAGCAAAUCCAAGAUUUCAGAAGAAAAAUAAAAAUCAUGAGAACCAAAGCACCACGUAGUUCUUCCAGGUAAAAAAAACAAUCAUCCACUGGGAUGACACACAGUAGCGAUCCAAAACGUCCAUAUUAAGACUUUUUGAUAGCAGAAAAAACAUGAAAAUGUCUAAUAUUUGUAGUAUUAAAAGGAAAAAUAAUAUAUUCACUUGACCUUUUUUUCGUAGCAACGCACCGGUGCGUAGUCAGACUUAGGCCACGUUUGGAUACUCCCUACUAAAGUUUAGCACCUGUCACAUAGGAUGUUUGGAUACUAAUUAGGAGUAUUAAACAUAGGCUAAUUAUAAAACUAAUUGAACAGAUGGAGUCUAAUUUGCGAGACGAAUCUAUUAAGCCUAACUAGUCCAUGAUUUGACAAUGUGGUGCUACAGUAACCAUUUGCUAAUGGUGGAUUAAUUAGGCUUAAUAGAUUCGUCUCGCGAAUUAACAUAGGGUUCUGCAAUUAAUUUUAUAAUUAGCUCAUGUCUAGUCCUUCUAAUUAGCAUCCGAACAUCUGAUAUGAUACUGCUAAAGUUUAUCACCUAGUAUCCAAAUACCCCCUUAAUGCACGAUGCCUGUGCAUCCACUGGGCCUACCCUCGUGGAUCACGCGCUCGUGGAUCACGCGCACCAUGACAUGGCUCAUUAGCUAGUCGUGCUAAUCCUUACCACCAAAUUAAAAACUAGCAUGUGUUGUGUGUUUGUGACCCUAAACGACUACCACCUUCCCGAGUCCACCGGAGUUGCCAGUUCACCACUAAGCUGACUCUCCGAGCUUCAUGUCACUGUCACCGCUCCAAAGACCUAGAUCGGUUCGCUGUGCACCCCGCUUCGUCCUGAGCUAAAUCCCAUCACGAAAGGUGACCGGAUGCUCGUUUUCGAGCGAAUUCUAGCGAGAUUGCCACCACCUUUCCCCUUCCAGCCGAUCGCAGCUGUCUGAUCACAAACCGACAGCCCAGAUCGGAUUUGACCAGGUCAAUACCGGUCAAGCCGAGAUGCAUGCUGCUUUUGCAAGAAGGCCCCUAUUUUUCUCUCUUUUUGCACUUGAGGUCCUACGCAGUUCAAAAGUAAUUAGAUCUAGAUCCUUUUUCUUCUGUUUUAGCCCUGUUCUUUUAUAAAAUCCCACCCGCCAUCCUGUUUGGUAUUUUGACAUGUUAGACCUUCUAUUUAUAUGUUUAAUUAGGUUUUAGCCCUUGGUUUCUUUAAGUUUAGCUCUUGGAAGUUUAGUUUUCUCGCAGUUAAGCCCCUGAACCUUGUUUAGUUCAUAUCUUUAGCGUUUUAAAUCCGUUUUAAGAGAUUCUUACGCCCAUAAGUUCGUGUUGAUGCAUAGAUUAGUUGACUUAUACGGACCUUGCUGAUUCAGCUCCUUCAUUGUGCUUCAGAUCUCGCUAGUGAAGAAUAAUGGAUGGGCUUUGGUUGAGCUUGUAGAUCGACCUGCAGUUGCAGUGAAUGUGCUGAGGACUGGCGGUACCAAUAAUGGGAGGCCGCUGCUCUGCUUGCUACCAAGGCCUGCGACGCUUGGACGCCAUUCAGAGUGCAUAAUUUCCAAGGAUCUCAAGGGCUCCACACCACGUUCCAAGUGUUUUUUCUUUGCCGAGUGUUUUUAGCUCGGCACUUGGCAAAGAGCUUGUUUGCCGAGUGUCCGAAAAAAACACUUGGCAAAGAGAAAACACUCGGCAAAUUUGAUGUUUCCCGUAGUGAUGUACUAUUCAAACUUGAACUGGGAUGCAGGCUUCAGUACCAAAGAGAGCUCUGGGCGCGGGUGAGCAGUGAGCUGGCCGGGCAGGGAGCUCCAAAGCGACAGCAACAAAGAGAGAAAUGCUAAGAGUAAGAACGACACACGAGGUCACUUCACAUAGAUAAUAGCAGUACGAACCAUACAAUAUCCUCUCUCAGUUUCACUCCGCCUCACACACGGCUAGCACACCAUGCAUGCCGAUUUCAUAUUAUUAAUAUUAUUUUUUGGAUGGUUGUUGAAACUAUAUAUAUAGUUAGUCCAAUCUCACGUUUCCGAUUAUAAAAAUCAACGUAAAGAGAUCGGUAGGGAGAGCCGGCAUAAUGAAGCCGACGCGUGUAAUAAGCACCAGAGCCGGCAUUUAUACAAACUGGUACGAAUAGUAAAAAACUAGAAUUUAUAAAUAAAAAAAUGAUUUGCACAUCUAUGCAAUAAUUAGGGGUUAGUGGCAGGUCUAGAGAGAUAUCUCAUCAUUAUAUCCGGUUUAACGAGGAUAAAAAAGAGUGUAUUUUCCACUCAUCAUGUUGUCUUUUCGCAGCGGUACCACUUUUCGUGUGUUGUAUCGGUCCCCUAAUACGGAGUCUCCGAGGCCCGAGAAAAUAAGGAAAGUGAUAGUAGCCCAGAAAUCGGCCAAGUUUCUUUCCCCUUUGGCUUUCCUACUAGGAUUCAGAAUCCUCUUUCGCAUGACAAUCUUAAUUAUCUCCCAUACUCCAAAACUCACAAAAACAUCAAGAGUCCGCUGAGAAUAAAUUUAAGUAAAAAACAUGCACACACAGAUAAUAAUAAUAAUCAUGUUUCCAUAAAAUUGCUAAGUCCAGAGAUAAUACAUAAACAUAGUAGACUGUUCAUGACACAUAUCACGGUGGACAGUGUUUGUGUCCUUAUUACAAGCAACGAGAGAUGCUCGUCACCAACACGCGCGCGCACAGAUGCACGACAUACAUAUAGUAGAGACCAACAGAUGGUCGUCCCAUAUGGUGAACAAUUUAUUGGAGAUAAAUAUUAACGUAACUUGGCCAUAGCUUGAAGCAUAGCAACAUAUGCCUAUGAGUGGCAUUCAUGCUAUCGUUUUAGGCUUGUCCAGCUCCUUCCAUCUUAGCAAGCACUUCCAUUUCUACCAUCUUAGCAGCAACUGUCAAAUUGAGAUACGGAAAUCCCAUUAGCGCAUGAGUUAAUUUUGCAGUGGAAAUAGAGUACAAGAUGUCUUCAUGAUGUAAGUAAUAUGCCUGAAGUUGUGAGAUGGGAAGUGAAGUCAACAAAUUACAUUAACGGAAAUGCAUGGAAGGCCACACAUACGUAUUAGUCCAUGAUAUGCUACAAAGCUUGUAUGUACAUAUAGCAAAUUAAAUGCAUUAAUUGAAUAGAGUGUGUUUAGUGAAUUUACCAGAAUCGUCCAGAAAACAUGGGAAACAGCAAGUGUUCUUGCAGACUGCGUCGGAGGCACCCGCACGAAUACAAAGCUGACAACAUAGUUUUGCCUGGGCGGAUGCGCAGCAGCCGCACUCCGCCGCGGUGGGGUUAACAUUGAGGCUCAAGAUGACCAGGCACAUGAUCACCAUCAAAGUGGUAGUCCUCUUUCCCUCCAUUGCCUCCUCUUAGCUUGCUGCUACCUUCCUUGGUUACCUAGCUAAGUUUAUUGGUUUUGUGUUGAGAGGUGUGAUUCUUGAAUGGACGUUGCCGGCGGCAAUUUAUAGGCAGCUGAGCUAUGUGAUGAUAUGGACUAGGUGCAAAUGGGUGGUUAAUGGCAAGGAAAGGGGCGUCAGACAAAGCCCAAUGGCAACUGCUGACAUGCGAUUAAAUUCAGAUCCACAUCCGGCCAUUCAAUAAUACGGUUGGAGUUGUGGCACAGAUAUAUUAUUGCAUGAUCAUCAAGAUAAGAUCGUACAGUGACUGAGUGAGACAAUAAAUAGCCAAGUAAACUAUUUUAUCCUGCUGCAAGCUGCAUUCAUAAGUUUAUUUCACCUUUGAUCACAAUACUCUUCACACACGUACGUCUCAGGGAGAUCUCACUUCCGCUGGACUGCUCACUUCCGCUGUCGUCGGUACUGCCAAAGACAUAAGCUCACAUCUGCUAUUGCGGAGCAGGCCAAUUUGCUGCGGAACUUCGGCGACGACCUGAAGGACAUGAACUCGGUGCUGGAGUCCAUCUCAGCAGCGCUCUAGGACGCUGACACCGGUAGAAAAACGACCUUCCAUCGUCAACAAAAAUCCCGGUAGCUUUUUUACUCGGUACUAAAGAGGUUUUAAUCUCGUGCAAACACCUUUAGUCCAGAUUGCUAUUACCACGCAACCCGGACUAAAGCGUCCCCCGCGAGUUAGUAUAUAAGGAUUGCAUCCUUUACUCAGUCAGAUAUAAUAUGUAGGUGAGAUGGUAAGGAAGCUAUGCGUGAGGCUUCAGGUUGUGGGUUCGAAUCCAAGUGGGUGCAGCUGUGGCUUAAGCGGCUGAGGCACGCCGCCAUAGACAUCUCAGAUUUGCUCGAAGACUACCAAGACACUAGUGAACCCUUAACAGUAAAGGUGAGUACUUAUGAAUGUCAGCAUCCAUGUUGUCCAUGCUUCCAAUGUAAUAACAAGAUGGACUACUCUUCCUAGCGGACUCUUCACAACCACUCGUAAAGCUAUGCGUUUCUCAAUGCAAUUUCGUAGAAGCCAAUCGAUCCAACCAAGUGACUAAAUCAUUCGUCCUUUCCAAUGAUGUGCAUCAGGUUUUCUAUAUGAAGGGCAUGUCUAGCAAACCUAAGAUUUCAGAAGAAAAAGAAAAAUCAUUGGAGCCAAAGAGCCACAUAGUUCUUCUAGGAAAAAAAUCAUGGGAGUCGAGAACAUAUCAAACCAAUCAGGGGAUUAUGGUCAGCUUAAUGGCAUGCCUCCAUUCGAUGUCGAAGUUCACCCAAGCAUCAUGUUAGCCAAACAUCAAAUGUUCGUGCGUUGUUACGGUAAAGAUCAAUUGUGUUUUUUAAACUCUUGGAAUUUUUUUAUCUAAGUUUUUAUUUACACUUAUUGGAUGUCUACACAUUUGCUAGAAAACUAAAAUAAUUUGGACUUAAUUAUUUCUUUCAACUGAAGUACUCACUAAAUUUCUACCUUUUUAUUUAAGCAAGAGAGUUGCUAAAAAAAAUGGAUACGUAACCAUGUUGUAUCAUACAAAGUAACCACGUUUCACAUAUAGUCCGGCUUAGCAAACACCAUUGUUUUCUGAACAUAGCGUACAUGAGUUAACAGACAUGGAUUUAUUUCUAUUGCAAGUAGCAUAGCGUACAACCUGCCUGCACCGAUGCAGCUCAAUAUGCGAUAAUUUUUAUCUUCCCAUGUAAUUUUUCUACUCUAGUACAUAUUGAACUCCACAUUAAUGUCAUGUUCUUUCGCGCCCCAGAAGGUUCCUAAAGUUUGGAAACUUAAUAGAUAGCCAGAAUUUUUUUUAAAGAUAUUUAUAUGGAUACUUGUAUGUUCUUUCCAAACUAACAAUAUUGUUUACCAAUAUCAGAAGGAAUAUGGUUAGGAGCCAUUGCCGCAUAUGGCAGGUGAUGGUAGAUGGCGUAUGGGGUUUCGUUAAUUUAAUGGUAUAAUAAGCUGAAAUACAUUUUCUAUUUGCAAAUGAAUCAUAGCUGAAAUUGGUGGGAUUGUUUUUUUCGCCGGUUUAGCAUCCUGUGCACCAGUUCAACCGGAGGGAAGCUGUUUUUUUUCUUUGGUUUUCCACCGGUUCACCGAGACCGAUGACAAUUUUAUGGCAGAAUCAUUACUUGUUUUACUAUUAGGUGAAGAUUUUAGCGUUUAGGUAUCUCACAUUAAACGCAACUUCAACAAUCUAUUUCUAGUGUAUAAUGUAGGAGACCCCGUAAAGAGUCUACACACACAUAUAUGUUGACUAUGAAUGUAAGUUUGUUGGUUUUAUGUAUGUUCGUUUGGAGUUUAUAUAAAUUUUACAUUUUAUAGUUUUGUGUAUAUGACGAAGAUCCAUGACUUGCAUUAAUUUAGCCUUUCUUCCAACAACUCUUAUGCAUGCUGUUUCUAGGCGAGCGUACUGGUUGCAAUUUUGGUCCCCGAUAUAGUGUGAGGACUUAAGGGACACGUGCAGGUCGUAACCUUAGAUAUUUUUGCUGAGAAUGGAUGAAGAAGCAAUAAUAUACUUUGCUUCUGAUUUUCUCCAUGUCAUUUGCUUACUCUUAUCCCUUUUAUUUAUCAUUAUAAGAUGAAAAUAUUGUAAAAACUUGGCUACGUGCGGUCGCAGAAGCUAGAGACUAAAGCGUCCCCCACGAGUUACUAUAUAAAAGGAUUGCAUCCUCUACUCAGUCAUAUGUACUGUGUAGGUGAGAUGGUAAGGAAGCUAUGUGUGAGGCUUGAGGUUGUAGGUUCGAAUCCCACGCACCGCGUGCGCAUGCGCAUAUUUUGCGUGAAAAAUCGCAUGACUUGUGGUCGGCCAAGGAGAAGUGCGUGCGGCUGAGGCACGCCGCCAUAGACAUCUCGGAUUUGCUCCAAGACUACCAAGACACUAGCGAACCCUUAACGGCAAAGUUGAGUACUUACGCGUGUUAGCAUCUAUGUUGUCCAUGCUUCCAAUGCAAUAACAAGAAGGGCUACUCAUCCUAGCGGAUUCUUCACAACCACUCGUAAAGCUAUGCGUUUCUCAAUGCAAUUUCGUAGAUGUCAAUCGAUCCAACCAAGCGACUGAAUCAUUCGUCCUUGCUAAUGAUGUGCAUCAGGUUUUCUAUAUGAAGAACAUGUCUAGCAAAUCCAAGAUUUCAGAAGAAAAAUAAAAAUCAUGAGAACCAAAGCACCACGUAGUUCUUCCAGGUAAAAAAAACAAUCAUCCACUGGGAUGACACACAGUAGCGAUCCAAAACGUCCAUAUUAAGACUUUUUGAUAGCAGAAAAAACAUGAAAAUGUCUAAUAUUUGUAGUAUUAAAAGGAAAAAUAAUAUAUUCACUUGACCUUUUUUUCGUAGCAACGCACCGGUGCGUAGUCAGACUUAGGCCACGUUUGGAUACUCCCUACUAAAGUUUAGCACCUGUCACAUAGGAUGUUUGGAUACUAAUUAGGAGUAUUAAACAUAGGCUAAUUAUAAAACUAAUUGAACAGAUGGAGUCUAAUUUGCGAGACGAAUCUAUUAAGCCUAACUAGUCCAUGAUUUGACAAUGUGGUGCUACAGUAACCAUUUGCUAAUGGUGGAUUAAUUAGGCUUAAUAGAUUCGUCUCGCGAAUUAACAUAGGGUUCUGCAAUUAAUUUUAUAAUUAGCUCAUGUCUAGUCCUUCUAAUUAGCAUCCGAACAUCUGAUAUGAUACUGCUAAAGUUUAUCACCUAGUAUCCAAAUACCCCCUUAAUGCACGAUGCCUGUGCAUCCACUGGGCCUACCCUCGUGGAUCACGCGCUCGUGGAUCACGCGCACCAUGACAUGGCUCAUUAGCUAGUCGUGCUAAUCCUUACCACCAAAUUAAAAACUAGCAUGUGUUGUGUGUUUGUGACCCUAAACGACUACCACCUUCCCGAGUCCACCGGAGUUGCCAGUUCACCACUAAGCUGACUCUCCGAGCUUCAUGUCACUGUCACCGCUCCAAAGACCUAGAUCGGUUCGCUGUGCACCCCGCUUCGUCCUGAGCUAAAUCCCAUCACGAAAGGUGACCGGAUGCUCGUUUUCGAGCGAAUUCUAGCGAGAUUGCCACCACCUUUCCCCUUCCAGCCGAUCGCAGCUGUCUGAUCACAAACCGACAGCCCAGAUCGGAUUUGACCAGGUCAAUACCGGUCAAGCCGAGAUGCAUGCUGCUUUUGCAAGAAGGCCCCUAUUUUUCUCUCUUUUUGCACUUGAGGUCCUACGCAGUUCAAAAGUAAUUAGAUCUAGAUCCUUUUUCUUCUGUUUUAGCCCUGUUCUUUUAUAAAAUCCCACCCGCCAUCCUGUUUGGUAUUUUGACAUGUUAGACCUUCUAUUUAUAUGUUUAAUUAGGUUUUAGCCCUUGGUUUCUUUAAGUUUAGCUCUUGGAAGUUUAGUUUUCUCGCAGUUAAGCCCCUGAACCUUGUUUAGUUCAUAUCUUUAGCGUUUUAAAUCCGUUUUAAGAGAUUCUUACGCCCAUAAGUUCGUGUUGAUGCAUAGAUUAGUUGACUUAUACGGACCUUGCUGAUUCAGCUCCUUCAUUGUGCUUCAGAUCUCGCUAGUGAAGAAUAAUGGAUGGGCUUUGGUUGAGCUUGUAGAUCGACCUGCAGUUGCAGUGAAUGUGCUGAGGACUGGCGGUACCAAUAAUGGGAGGCCGCUGCUCUGCUUGCUACCAAGGCCUGCGACGCUUGGACGCCAUUCAGAGUGCAUAAUUUCCAAGGAUCUCAAGGGCUCCACACCACGUUCCAAGUGUUUUUUCUUUGCCGAGUGUUUUUAGCUCGGCACUUGGCAAAGAGCUUGUUUGCCGAGUGUCCGAAAAAAACACUUGGCAAAGAGAAAACACUCGGCAAAUUUGAUGUUUCCCGUAGUGAUGUACUAUUCAAACUUGAACUGGGAUGCAGGCUUCAGUACCAAAGAGAGCUCUGGGCGCGGGUGAGCAGUGAGCUGGCCGGGCAGGGAGCUCCAAAGCGACAGCAACAAAGAGAGAAAUGCUAAGAGUAAGAACGACACACGAGGUCACUUCACAUAGAUAAUAGCAGUACGAACCAUACAAUAUCCUCUCUCAGUUUCACUCCGCCUCACACACGGCUAGCACACCAUGCAUGCCGAUUUCAUAUUAUUAAUAUUAUUUUUUGGAUGGUUGUUGAAACUAUAUAUAUAGUUAGUCCAAUCUCACGUUUCCGAUUAUAAAAAUCAACGUAAAGAGAUCGGAAGGGAGAGCCGGCAUAAUGAAGCCGACGCGUGUAAUAAGCACCAGAGCCGGCAUUUAUACAAACUGGUACGAAUAGUAAAAAACUAGAAUUUAUAAAUAAAAAAAUGAUUUGCACAUCUAUGCAAUAAUUAGGGGUUAGUGGCAGGUCUAGAGAGAUAUCUCAUCAUUAUAUCCGGUUUAACGAGGAUAAAAAAGAGUGUAUUUUCCACUCAUCAUGUUGUCUUUUCGCAGCGGUACCACUUUUCGUGUGUUGUAUCGGUCCCCUAAUACGGAGUCUCCGAGGCCCGAGAAAAUAAGGAAAGUGAUAGUAGCCCAGAAAUCGGCCAAGUUUCUUUCCCCUUUGGCUUUCCUACUAGGAUUCAGAAUCCUCUUUCGCAUGACAAUCUUAAUUAUCUCCCAUACUCCAAAACUCACAAAAACAUCAAGAUUCCGCUGAGAAUAAAUUUAAGUAAAAAACAUGCACACACAGAUAAUAAUAAUAAUCAUGUUUCCAUAAAAUUGCUAAGUCCAGAGAUAAUACAUAAACAUAGUAGACUGUUCAUGACACAUAUCACGGUGGACAGUGUUUGUGUCCUUAUUACAAGCAACGAGAGAUGCUCGUCACCAACACGCGCGCGCACAGAUGCACGACAUACAUAUAGUAGAGACCAACAGAUGGUCGUCCCAUAUGGUGAACAAUUUAUUGGGGAUAAAUAUUAACGUAACUUGGCCAUAGCUUGAAGCAUAGCAACAUAUGCCUAUGAGUGGCAUUCAUGCUAUCGUUUUAGGCUUGUCCAGCUCCUUCCAUCUUAGCAAGCACUUCCAUUUCUACCAUCUUAGCAGCAACUGUCAAAUUGAGAUACGGAAAUCCCAUUAGCGCAUGAGUUAAUUUUGCAGUGGAAAUAGAGUACAAGAUGUCUUCAUGAUGUAAGUAAUAUGCCUGAAGUUGUGAGAUGGGAAGUGAAGUCAACAAAUUACAUUAACGGAAAUGCAUGGAAGGCCACACAUACGUAUUAGUCCAUGAUAUGCUACAAAGCUUGUAUGUACAUAUAGCAAAUUAAAUGCAUUAAUUGAAUAGAGUGUGUUUAGUGAAUUUACCAGAAUCGUCCAGAAAACAUGGGAAACAGCAAGUGUUCUUGCAGACUGCGUCGGAGGCACCCGCACGAAUACAAAGCUGACAACAUAGUUUUGCCUGGGCGGAUGCGCAGCAGCCGCACUCCGCCGCGGUGGGGUUAACAUUGAGGCUCAAGAUGACCAGGCACAUGAUCACCAUCAAAGUGGUAGUCCUCUUUCCCUCCAUUGCCUCCUCUUAGCUUGCUGCUACCUUCCUUGGUUACCUAGCUAAGUUUAUUGGUUUUGUGUUGAGAGGUGUGAUUUUUGAAUGGACGUUGCCGGCGGCAAUUUAUAGGCAGCUGAGCUAUGUGAUGAUAUGGACUAGGUGCAAAUGGGUGGUUAAUGGCAAGGAAAGGGGCGUCAGACAAAGCCCAAUGGCAACUGCUGACAUGCGAUUAAAUUCAGAUCCACAUCCGGCCAUUCAAUAAUACGGUUGGAGUUGUGGCACAGAUAUAUUAUUGCAUGAUCAUCAAGAUAAGAUCGUACAGUGACUGAGUGAGACAAUAAAUAGCCAAGUAAACUAUUUUAUCCUGCUGCAAGCUGCAUUCAUAAGUUUAUUUCACCUUUGAUCACAAUACUCUUCACACACGUACGUCUCAGGGAGAUCUCACUUCCGCUGGACUGCUCACUUCCGCUGUCGUCGGUACUGCCAAAGACAUAAGCUCACAUCUGCUAUUGCGGAGCAGGCCAAUUUGCUGCGGAACUUCGGCGACGACCUGAAGGACAUGAACUCGGUGCUGGAGUCCAUCUCAGCAGCGCUCUAGGACGCUGACACCGGUAGAAAAACGACCUUCCAUCGUCAACAAAAAUCCCGGUAGCUUUUUUACUCGGUACUAAAGAGGUUUUAAUCUCGUGCAAACACCUUUAGUCCAGAUUGCUAUUACCACGCAACCCGGACUAAAGCGUCCCCCGCGAGUUAGUAUAUAAGGAUUGCAUCCUUUACUCAGUCAGAUAUAAUAUGUAGGUGAGAUGGUAAGGAAGCUAUGCGUGAGGCUUCAGGUUGUGGGUUCGAAUCCAAGUGGGUGCAGCUGUGGCUUAAGCGGCUGAGGCACGCCGCCAUAGACAUCUCAGAUUUGCUCGAAGACUACCAAGACACUAGUGAACCCUUAACAGUAAAGGUGAGUACUUAUGAAUGUCAGCAUCCAUGUUGUCCAUGCUUCCAAUGUAAUAACAAGAUGGACUACUCUUCCUAGCGGACUCUUCACAACCACUCGUAAAGCUAUGCGUUUCUCAAUGCAAUUUCGUAGAAGCCAAUCGAUCCAACCAAGUGACUAAAUCAUUCGUCCUUUCCAAUGAUGUGCAUCAGGUUUUCUAUAUGAAGGGCAUGUCUAGCAAACCUAAGAUUUCAGAAGAAAAAGAAAAAUCAUUGGAGCCAAAGAGCCACAUAGUUCUUCUAGGAAAAAAAUCAUGGGAGUCGAGAACAUAUCAAACCAAUCAGGGGAUUAUGGUCAGCUUAAUGGCAUGCCUCCAUUCGAUGUCGAAGUUCACCCAAGCAUCAUGUUAGCCAAACAUCAAAUGUUCGUGCGUUGUUACGGUAAAGAUCAAUUGUGUUUUUUAAACUCUUGGAAUUUUUUUAUCUAAGUUUUUAUUUACACUUAUUGGAUGUCUACACAUUUGCUAGAAAACUAAAAUAAUUUGGACUUAAUUAUUUCUUUCAACUGAAGUACUCACUAAAUUUCUACCUUUUUAUUUAAGCAAGAGAGUUGCUAAAAAAAAUGGAUACGUAACCAUGUUGUAUCAUACAAAGUAACCACGUUUCACAUAUAGUCCGGCUUAGCAAACACCAUUGUUUUCUGAACAUAGCGUACAUGAGUUAACAGACAUGGAUUUAUUUCUAUUGCAAGUAGCAUAGCGUACAACCUGCCUGCACCGAUGCAGCUCAAUAUGCGAUAAUUUUUAUCUUCCCAUGUAAUUUUUCUACUCUAGUACAUAUUGAACUCCACAUUAAUGUCAUGUUCUUUCGCGCCCCAGAAGGUUCCUAAAGUUUGGAAACUUAAUAGAUAGCCAGAAUUUUUUUUAAAGAUAUUUAUAUGGAUACUUGUAUGUUCUUUCCAAACUAACAAUAUUGUUUACCAAUAUCAGAAGGAAUAUGGUUAGGAGCCAUUGCCGCAUAUGGCAGGUGAUGGUAGAUGGCGUAUGGGGUUUCGUUAAUUUAAUGGUAUAAUAAGCUGAAAUACAUUUUCUAUUUGCAAAUGAAUCAUAGCUGAAAUUGGUGGGAUUGUUUUUUCGCCGGUUUAGCAUCCUGUGCACCAGUUCAACCGGAGGGAAGCUGUUUUUUUUCUUUGGUUUUCCACCGGUUCACCGAGACCGAUGACAAUUUUAUGGCAGAAUCAUUACUUGUUUUACUAUUAGGUGAAGAUUUUAGCGUUUAGGUAUCUCACAUUAAACGCAACUUCAACAAUCUAUUUCUAGUGUAUAAUGUAGGAGACCCCGUAAAGAGUCUACACACACAUAUAUGUUGACUAUGAAUGUAAGUUUGUUGGUUUUAUGUAUGUUCGUUUGGAGUUUAUAUAAAUUUUACAUUUUAUAGUUUUGUGUAUAUGACGAAGAUCCAUGACUUGCAUUAAUUUAGCCUUUCUUCCAACAACUCUUAUGCAUGCUGUUUCUAGGCGAGCGUACUGGUUGCAAUUUUGGUCCCCGAUAUAGUGUGAGGACUUAAGGGACACGUGCAGGUCGUAACCUUAGAUAUUUUUGCUGAGAAUGGAUGAAGAAGCAAUAAUAUACUUUGCUUCUGAUUUUCUCCAUGUCAUUUGCUUACUCUUAUCCCUUUUAUUUAUCAUUAUAAGAUGAAAAUAUUGUAAAAACUUGGCUACGUGCGGUCGCAGAAGCUAGAGACUAAAGCGUCCCCCACGAGUUACUAUAUAAAAGGAUUGCAUCCUCUACUCAGUCAUAUGUACUGUGUAGGUGAGAUGGUAAGGAAGCUAUGUGUGAGGCUUGAGGUUGUAGGUUCGAAUCCCACGCACCGCGUGCGCAUGCGCAUAUUUUGCGUGAAAAAUCGCAUGACUUGUGGUCGGCCAAGGAGAAGUGCGUGCGGCUGAGGCACGCCGCCAUAGACAUCUCGGAUUUGCUCCAAGACUACCAAGACACUAGCGAACCCUUAACGGCAAAGUUGAGUACUUACGCGUGUUAGCAUCUAUGUUGUCCAUGCUUCCAAUGCAAUAACAAGAAGGGCUACUCAUCCUAGCGGAUUCUUCACAACCACUCGUAAAGCUAUGCGUUUCUCAAUGCAAUUUCGUAGAUGUCAAUCGAUCCAACCAAGCGACUGAAUCAUUCGUCCUUGCUAAUGAUGUGCAUCAGGUUUUCUAUAUGAAGAACAUGUCUAGCAAAUCCAAGAUUUCAGAAGAAAAAUAAAAAUCAUGAGAACCAAAGCACCACGUAGUUCUUCCAGGUAAAAAAAACAAUCAUCCACUGGGAUGACACACAGUAGCGAUCCAAAACGUCCAUAUUAAGACUUUUUGAUAGCAGAAAAAACAUGAAAAUGUCUAAUAUUUGUAGUAUUAAAAGGAAAAAUAAUAUAUUCACUUGACCUUUUUUUCGUAGCAACGCACCGGUGCGUAGUCAGACUUAGGCCACGUUUGGAUACUCCCUACUAAAGUUUAGCACCUGUCACAUAGGAUGUUUGGAUACUAAUUAGGAGUAUUAAACAUAGGCUAAUUAUAAAACUAAUUGAAUAGAUGGAGUCUAAUUUGCGAGACGAAUCUAUUAAGCCUAACUAGUCCAUGAUUUGACAAUGUGGUGCUACAGUAACCAUUUGCUAAUGGUGGAUUAAUUAGGCUUAAUAGAUUCGUCUCGCGAAUUAACAUAGGGUUCUGCAAUUAAUUUUAUAAUUAGCUCAUGUCUAGUCCUUCUAAUUAGCAUCCGAACAUCUGAUAUGAUACUGCUAAAGUUUAUCACCUAGUAUCCAAAUACCCCCUUAAUGCACGAUGCCUGUGCAUCCACUGGGCCUACCCUCGUGGAUCACGCGCUCGUGGAUCACGCGCACCAUGACAUGGCUCAUUAGCUAGUCGUGCUAAUCCUUACCACCAAAUUAAAAACUAGCAUGUGUUGUGUGUUUGUGACCCUAAACGACUACCACCUUCCCGAGUCCACCGGAGUUGCCAGUUCACCACUAAGCUGACUCUCCGAGCUUCAUGUCACUGUCACCGCUCCAAAGACCUAGAUCGGUUCGCUGUGCACCCCGCUUCGUCCUGAGCUAAAUCCCAUCACGAAAGGUGACCGGAUGCUCGUUUUCGAGCGAAUUCUAGCGAGAUUGCCACCACCUUUCCCCUUCCAGCCGAUCGCAGCUGUCUGAUCACAAACCGACAGCCCAGAUCGGAUUUGACCAGGUCAAUACCGGUCAAGCCGAGAUGCAUGCUGCUUUUGCAAGAAGGCCCCUAUUUUUCUCUCGUUUUGCACUUGAGGUCCUACGCAGUUCAAAAGUAAUUAGAUCUAGAUCCUUUUUCUUCUGUUUUAGCCCUGUUCUUUUAUAAAAUCCCACCCGCCAUCCUGUUUGGUAUUUUGACAUGUUAGACCUUCUAUUUAUAUGUUUAAUUAGGUUUUAGCCCUUGGUUUCUUUAAGUUUAGCUCUUGGAAGUUUAGUUUUCUCGCAGUUAAGCCCCUGAACCUUGUUUAGUUCAUAUCUUUAGCGUUUUAAAUCCGUUUUAAGAGAUUCUUACGCCCAUAAGUUCGUGUUGAUGCAUAGAUUAGUUGACUUAUACGGACCUUGCUGAUUCAGCUCCUUCAUUGUGCUUCAGAUCUCGCUAGUGAAGAAUAAUGGAUGGGCUUUGGUUGAGCUUGUAGAUCGACCUGCAGUUGCAGUGAAUGUGCUGAGGACUGGCGGUACCAAUAAUGGGAGGCCGCUGCUCUGCUUGCUACCAAGGCCUGCGACGCUUGGACGCCAUUCAGAGUGCAUAAUUUCCAAGGAUCUCAAGGGCUCCACACCACGUUCCAAGUGUUUUUUCUUUGCCGAGUGUUUUUAGCUCGGCACUUGGCAAAGAGCUUGUUUGCCGAGUGUCCGAAAAAAACACUUGGCAAAGAGAAAACACUCGGCAAAUUUGAUGUUUCCCGUAGUGAUGUACUAUUCAAACUUGAACUGGGAUGCAGGCUUCAGUACCAAAGAGAGCUCUGGGCGCGGGUGAGCAGUGAGCUGGCCGGGCAGGGAGCUCCAAAGCGACAGCAACAAAGAGAGAAAUGCUAAGAGUAAGAACGACACACGAGGUCACUUCACAUAGAUAAUAGCAGUACGAACCAUACAAUAUCCUCUCUCAGUUUCACUCCGCCUCACACACGGCUAGCACACCAUGCAUGCCGAUUUCAUAUUAUUAAUAUUAUUUUUUGGAUGGUUGUUGAAACUAUAUAUAUAGUUAGUCCAAUCUCACGUUUCCGAUUAUAAAAAUCAACGUAAAGAGAUCGGUAGGGAGAGCCGGCAUAAUGAAGCCGACGCGUGUAAUAAGCACCAGAGCCGGCAUUUAUACAAACUGGUACGAAUAGUAAAAAACUAGAAUUUAUAAAUAAAAAAAUGAUUUGCACAUCUAUGCAAUAAUUAGGGGUUAGUGGCAGGUCUAGAGAGAUAUCUCAUCAUUAUAUCCGGUUUAACGAGGAUAAAAAAGAGUGUAUUUUCCACUCAUCAUGUUGUCUUUUCGCAGCGGUACCACUUUUCGUGUGUUGUAUCGGUCCCCUAAUACGGAGUCUCCGAGGCCCGAGAAAAUAAGGAAAGUGAUAGUAGCCCAGAAAUCGGCCAAGUUUCUUUCCCCUUUGGCUUUCCUACUAGGAUUCAGAAUCCUCUUUCGCAUGACAAUCUUAAUUAUCUCCCAUACUCCAAAACUCACAAAAACAUCAAGAGUCCGCUGAGAAUAAAUUUAAGUAAAAAACAUGCACACACAGAUAAUAAUAAUAAUCAUGUUUCCAUAAAAUUGCUAAGUCCAGAGAUAAUACAUAAACAUAGUAGACUGUUCAUGACACAUAUCACGGUGGACAGUGUUUGUGUCCUUAUUACAAGCAACGAGAGAUGCUCGUCACCAACACGCGCGCGCACAGAUGCACGACAUACAUAUAGUAGAGACCAACAGAUGGUCGUCCCAUAUGGUGAACAAUUUAUUGGAGAUAAAUAUUAACGUAACUUGGCCAUAGCUUGAAGCAUAGCAACAUAUGCCUAUGAGUGGCAUUCAUGCUAUCGUUUUAGGCUUGUCCAGCUCCUUCCAUCUUAGCAAGCACUUCCAUUUCUACCAUCUUAGCAGCAACUGUCAAAUUGAGAUACGGAAAUCCCAUUAGCGCAUGAGUUAAUUUUGCAGUGGAAAUAGAGUACAAGAUGUCUUCAUGAUGUAAGUAAUAUGCCUGAAGUUGUGAGAUGGGAAGUGAAGUCAACAAAUUACAUUAACGGAAAUGCAUGGAAGGCCACACAUACGUAUUAGUCCAUGAUAUGCUACAAAGCUUGUAUGUACAUAUAGCAAAUUAAAUGCAUUAAUUGAAUAGAGUGUGUUUAGUGAAUUUACCAGAAUCGUCCAGAAAACAUGGGAAACAGCAAGUGUUCUUGCAGACUGCGUCGGAGGCACCCGCACGAAUACAAAGCUGACAACAUAGUUUUGCCUGGGCGGAUGCGCAGCAGCCGCACUCCGCCGCGGUGGGGUUAACAUUGAGGCUCAAGAUGACCAGGCACAUGAUCACCAUCAAAGUGGUAGUCCUCUUUCCCUCCAUUGCCUCCUCUUAGCUUGCUGCUACCUUCCUUGGUUACCUAGCUAAGUUUAUUGGUUUUGUGUUGAGAGGUGUGAUUCUUGAAUGGACGUUGCCGGCGGCAAUUUAUAGGCAGCUGAGCUAUGUGAUGAUAUGGACUAGGUGCAAAUGGGUGGUUAAUGGCAAGGAAAGGGGCGUCAGACAAAGCCCAAUGGCAACUGCUGACAUGCGAUUAAAUUCAGAUCCACAUCCGGCCAUUCAAUAAUACGGUUGGAGUUGUGGCACAGAUAUAUUAUUGCAUGAUCAUCAAGAUAAGAUCGUACAGUGACUGAGUGAGACAAUAAAUAGCCAAGUAAACUAUUUUAUCCUGCUGCAAGCUGCAUUCAUAAGUUUAUUUCACCUUUGAUCACAAUACUCUUCACACACGUACGUCUCAGGGAGAUCUCACUUCCGCUGGACUGCUCACUUCCGCUGUCGUCGGUACUGCCAAAGACAUAAGCUCACAUCUGCUAUUGCGGAGCAGGCCAAUUUGCUGCGGAACUUCGGCGACGACCUGAAGGACAUGAACUCGGUGCUGGAGUCCAUCUCAGCAGCGCUCUAGGACGCUGACACCGGUAGAAAAACGACCUUCCAUCGUCAACAAAAAUCCCGGUAGCUUUUUUACUCGGUACUAAAGAGGUUUUAAUCUCGUGCAAACACCUUUAGUCCAGAUUGCUAUUACCACGCAACCCGGACUAAAGCGUCCCCCGCGAGUUAGUAUAUAAGGAUUGCAUCCUUUACUCAGUCAGAUAUAAUAUGUAGGUGAGAUGGUAAGGAAGCUAUGCGUGAGGCUUCAGGUUGUGGGUUCGAAUCCAAGUGGGUGCAGCUGUGGCUUAAGCGGCUGAGGCACGCCGCCAUAGACAUCUCAGAUUUGCUCGAAGACUACCAAGACACUAGUGAACCCUUAACAGUAAAGGUGAGUACUUAUGAAUGUCAGCAUCCAUGUUGUCCAUGCUUCCAAUGUAAUAACAAGAUGGACUACUCUUCCUAGCGGACUCUUCACAACCACUCGUAAAGCUAUGCGUUUCUCAAUGCAAUUUCGUAGAAGCCAAUCGAUCCAACCAAGUGACUAAAUCAUUCGUCCUUUCCAAUGAUGUGCAUCAGGUUUUCUAUAUGAAGGGCAUGUCUAGCAAACCUAAGAUUUCAGAAGAAAAAGAAAAAUCAUUGGAGCCAAAGAGCCACAUAGUUCUUCUAGGAAAAAAAUCAUGGGAGUCGAGAACAUAUCAAACCAAUCAGGGGAUUAUGGUCAGCUUAAUGGCAUGCCUCCAUUCGAUGUCGAAGUUCACCCAAGCAUCAUGUUAGCCAAACAUCAAAUGUUCGUGCGUUGUUACGGUAAAGAUCAAUUGUGUUUUUUAAACUCUUGGAAUUUUUUUAUCUAAGUUUUUAUUUACACUUAUUGGAUGUCUACACAUUUGCUAGAAAACUAAAAUAAUUUGGACUUAAUUAUUUCUUUCAACUGAAGUACUCACUAAAUUUCUACCUUUUUAUUUAAGCAAGAGAGUUGCUAAAAAAAAUGGAUACGUAACCAUGUUGUAUCAUACAAAGUAACCACGUUUCACAUAUAGUCCGGCUUAGCAAACACCAUUGUUUUCUGAACAUAGCGUACAUGAGUUAACAGACAUGGAUUUAUUUCUAUUGCAAGUAGCAUAGCGUACAACCUGCCUGCACCGAUGCAGCUCAAUAUGCGAUAAUUUUUAUCUUCCCAUGUAAUUUUUCUACUCUAGUACAUAUUGAACUCCACAUUAAUGUCAUGUUCUUUCGCGCCCCAGAAGGUUCCUAAAGUUUGGAAACUUAAUAGAUAGCCAGAAUUUUUUUUAAAGAUAUUUAUAUGGAUACUUGUAUGUUCUUUCCAAACUAACAAUAUUGUUUACCAAUAUCAGAAGGAAUAUGGUUAGGAGCCAUUGCCGCAUAUGGCAGGUGAUGGUAGAUGGCGUAUGGGGUUUCGUUAAUUUAAUGGUAUAAUAAGCUGAAAUACAUUUUCUAUUUGCAAAUGAAUCAUAGCUGAAAUUGGUGGGAUUGUUUUUUCGCCGGUUUAGCAUCCUGUGCACCAGUUCAACCGGAGGGAAGCUGUUUUUUUUCUUUGGUUUUCCACCGGUUCACCGAGACCGAUGACAAUUUUAUGGCAGAAUCAUUACUUGUUUUACUAUUAGGUGAAGAUUUUAGCGUUUAGGUAUCUCACAUUAAACGCAACUUCAACAAUCUAUUUCUAGUGUAUAAUGUAGGAGACCCCGUAAAGAGUCUACACACACAUAUAUGUUGACUAUGAAUGUAAGUUUGUUGGUUUUAUGUAUGUUCGUUUGGAGUUUAUAUAAAUUUUACAUUUUAUAGUUUUGUGUAUAUGACGAAGAUCCAUGACUUGCAUUAAUUUAGCCUUUCUUCCAACAACUCUUAUGCAUGAUGUUUCUAGGCGAGCGUACUGGUUGCAAUUUUGGUCCCCGAUAUAGUGUGAGGACUUAAGGGACACGUGCAGGUCGUAACCUUAGAUAUUUUUGCUGAGAAUGGAUGAAGAAGCAAUAAUAUACUUUGCUUCUGAUUUUCUCCAUGUCAUUUGCUUACUCUUAUCCCUUUUAUUUAUCAUUAUAAGAUGAAAAUAUUGUAAAAACUUGGCUACGUGCGGUCGCAGAAGCUAGAGACUAAAGCGUCCCCCACGAGUUACUAUAUAAAAGGAUUGCAUCCUCUACUCAGUCAUAUGUACUGUGUAGGUGAGAUGGUAAGGAAGCUAUGUGUGAGGCUUGAGGUUGUAGGUUCGAAUCCCACGCACCGCGUGCGCAUGCGCAUAUUUUGCGUGAAAAAUCGCAUGACUUGUGGUCGGCCAAGGAGAAGUGCGUGCGGCUGAGGCACGCCGCCAUAGACAUCUCGGAUUUGCUCCAAGACUACCAAGACACUAGCGAACCCUUAACGGCAAAGUUGAGUACUUACGCGUGUUAGCAUCUAUGUUGUCCAUGCUUCCAAUGCAAUAACAAGAAGGGCUACUCAUCCUAGCGGAUUCUUCACAACCACUCGUAAAGCUAUGCGUUUCUCAAUGCAAUUUCGUAGAUGUCAAUCGAUCCAACCAAGCGACUGAAUCAUUCGUCCUUGCUAAUGAUGUGCAUCAGGUUUUCUAUAUGAAGAACAUGUCUAGCAAAUCCAAGAUUUCAGAAGAAAAAUAAAAAUCAUGAGAACCAAAGCACCACGUAGUUCUUCCAGGUAAAAAAAACAAUCAUCCACUGGGAUGACACACAGUAGCGAUCCAAAACGUCCAUAUUAAGACUUUUUGAUAGCAGAAAAAACAUGAAAAUGUCUAAUAUUUGUAGUAUUAAAAGGAAAAAUAAUAUAUUCACUUGACCUUUUUUUCGUAGCAACGCACCGGUGCGUAGUCAGACUUAGGCCACGUUUGGAUACUCCCUACUAAAGUUUAGCACCUGUCACAUAGGAUGUUUGGAUACUAAUUAGGAGUAUUAAACAUAGGCUAAUUAUAAAACUAAUUGAACAGAUGGAGUCUAAUUUGCGAGACGAAUCUAUUAAGCCUAACUAGUCCAUGAUUUGACAAUGUGGUGCUACAGUAACCAUUUGCUAAUGGUGGAUUAAUUAGGCUUAAUAGAUUCGUCUCGCGAAUUAACAUAGGGUUCUGCAAUUAAUUUUAUAAUUAGCUCAUGUCUAGUCCUUCUAAUUAGCAUCCGAACAUCUGAUAUGAUACUGCUAAAGUUUAUCACCUAGUAUCCAAAUACCCCCUUAAUGCACGAUGCCUGUGCAUCCACUGGGCCUACCCUCGUGGAUCACGCGCUCGUGGAUCACGCGCACCAUGACAUGGCUCAUUAGCUAGUCGUGCUAAUCCUUACCACCAAAUUAAAAACUAGCAUGUGUUGUGUGUUUGUGACCCUAAACGACUACCACCUUCCCGAGUCCACCGGAGUUGCCAGUUCACCACUAAGCUGACUCUCCGAGCUUCAUGUCACUGUCACCGCUCCAAAGACCUAGAUCGGUUCGCUGUGCACCCCGCUUCGUCCUGAGCUAAAUCCCAUCACGAAAGGUGACCGGAUGCUCGUUUUCGAGCGAAUUCUAGCGAGAUUGCCACCACCUUUCCCCUUCCAGCCGAUCGCAGCUGUCUGAUCACAAACCGACAGCCCAGAUCGGAUUUGACCAGGUCAAUACCGGUCAAGCCGAGAUGCAUGCUGCUUUUGCAAGAAGGCCCCUAUUUUUCUCUCUUUUUGCACUUGAGGUCCUACGCAGUUCAAAAGUAAUUAGAUCUAGAUCCUUUUUCUUCUGUUUUAGCCCUGUUCUUUUAUAAAAUCCCACCCGCCAUCCUGUUUGGUAUUUUGACAUGUUAGACCUUCUAUUUAUAUGUUUAAUUAGGUUUUAGCCCUUGGUUUCUUUAAGUUUAGCUCUUGGAAGUUUAGUUUUCUCGCAGUUAAGCCCCUGAACCUUGUUUAGUUCAUAUCUUUAGCGUUUUAAAUCCGUUUUAAGAGAUUCUUACGCCCAUAAGUUCGUGUUGAUGCAUAGAUUAGUUGACUUAUACGGACCUUGCUGAUUCAGCUCCUUCAUUGUGCUUCAGAUCUCGCUAGUGAAGAAUAAUGGAUGGGCUUUGGUUGAGCUUGUAGAUCGACCUGCAGUUGCAGUGAAUGUGCUGAGGACUGGCGGUACCAAUAAUGGGAGGCCGCUGCUCUGCUUGCUACCAAGGCCUGCGACGCUUGGACGCCAUUCAGAGUGCAUAAUUUCCAAGGAUCUCAAGGGCUCCACACCACGUUCCAAGUGUUUUUUCUUUGCCGAGUGUUUUUAGCUCGGCACUUGGCAAAGAGCUUGUUUGCCGAGUGUCCGAAAAAAACACUUGGCAAAGAGAAAACACUCGGCAAAUUUGAUGUUUCCCGUAGUGAUGUACUAUUCAAACUUGAACUGGGAUGCAGGCUUCAGUACCAAAGAGAGCUCUGGGCGCGGGUGAGCAGUGAGCUGGCCGGGCAGGGAGCUCCAAAGCGACAGCAACAAAGAGAGAAAUGCUAAGAGUAAGAACGACACACGAGGUCACUUCACAUAGAUAAUAGCAGUACGAACCAUACAAUAUCCUCUCUCAGUUUCACUCCGCCUCACACACGGCUAGCACACCAUGCAUGCCGAUUUCAUAUUAUUAAUAUUAUUUUUUGGAUGGUUGUUGAAACUAUAUAUAUAGUUAGUCCAAUCUCACGUUUCCGAUUAUAAAAAUCAACGUAAAGAGAUCGGUAGGGAGAGCCGGCAUAAUGAAGCCGACGCGUGUAAUAAGCACCAGAGCCGGCAUUUAUACAAACUGGUACGAAUAGUAAAAAACUAGAAUUUAUAAAUAAAAAAAUGAUUUGCACAUCUAUGCAAUAAUUAGGGGUUAGUGGCAGGUCUAGAGAGAUAUCUCAUCAUUAUAUCCGGUUUAACGAGGAUAAAAAAGAGUGUAUUUUCCACUCAUCAUGUUGUCUUUUCGCAGCGGUACCACUUUUCGUGUGUUGUAUCGGUCCCCUAAUACGGAGUCUCCGAGGCCCGAGAAAAUAAGGAAAGUGAUAGUAGCCCAGAAAUCGGCCAAGUUUCUUUCCCCUUUGGCUUUCCUACUAGGAUUCAGAAUCCUCUUUCGCAUGACAAUCUUAAUUAUCUCCCAUACUCCAAAACUCACAAAAACAUCAAGAGUCCGCUGAGAAUAAAUUUAAGUAAAAAACAUGCACACACAGAUAAUAAUAAUAAUCAUGUUUCCAUAAAAUUGCUAAGUCCAGAGAUAAUACAUAAACAUAGUAGACUGUUCAUGACACAUAUCACGGUGGACAGUGUUUGUGUCCUUAUUACAAGCAACGAGAGAUGCUCGUCACCAACACGCGCGCGCACAGAUGCACGACAUACAUAUAGUAGAGACCAACAGAUGGUCGUCCCAUAUGGUGAACAAUUUAUUGGAGAUAAAUAUUAACGUAACUUGGCCAUAGCUUGAAGCAUAGCAACAUAUGCCUAUGAGUGGCAUUCAUGCUAUCGUUUUAGGCUUGUCCAGCUCCUUCCAUCUUAGCAAGCACUUCCAUUUCUACCAUCUUAGCAGCAACUGUCAAAUUGAGAUACGGAAAUCCCAUUAGCGCAUGAGUUAAUUUUGCAGUGGAAAUAGAGUACAAGAUGUCUUCAUGAUGUAAGUAAUAUGCCUGAAGUUGUGAGAUGGGAAGUGAAGUCAACAAAUUACAUUAACGGAAAUGCAUGGAAGGCCACACAUACGUAUUAGUCCAUGAUAUGCUACAAAGCUUGUAUGUACAUAUAGCAAAUUAAAUGCAUUAAUUGAAUAGAGUGUGUUUAGUGAAUUUACCAGAAUCGUCCAGAAAACAUGGGAAACAGCAAGUGUUCUUGCAGACUGCGUCGGAGGCACCCGCACGAAUACAAAGCUGACAACAUAGUUUUGCCUGGGCGGAUGCGCAGCAGCCGCACUCCGCCGCGGUGGGGUUAACAUUGAGGCUCAAGAUGACCAGGCACAUGAUCACCAUCAAAGUGGUAGUCCUCUUUCCCUCCAUUGCCUCCUCUUAGCUUGCUGCUACCUUCCUUGGUUACCUAGCUAAGUUUAUUGGUUUUGUGUUGAGAGGUGUGAUUCUUGAAUGGACGUUGCCGGCGGCAAUUUAUAGGCAGCUGAGCUAUGUGAUGAUAUGGACUAGGUGCAAAUGGGUGGUUAAUGGCAAGGAAAGGGGCGUCAGACAAAGCCCAAUGGCAACUGCUGACAUGCGAUUAAAUUCAGAUCCACAUCCGGCCAUUCAAUAAUACGGUUGGAGUUGUGGCACAGAUAUAUUAUUGCAUGAUCAUCAAGAUAAGAUCGUACAGUGACUGAGUGAGACAAUAAAUAGCCAAGUAAACUAUUUUAUCCUGCUGCAAGCUGCAUUCAUAAGUUUAUUUCACCUUUGAUCACAAUACUCUUCACACACGUACGUCUCAGGGAGAUCUCACUUCCGCUGGACUGCUCACUUCCGCUGUCGUCGGUACUGCCAAAGACAUAAGCUCACAUCUGCUAUUGCGGAGCAGGCCAAUUUGCUGCGGAACUUCGGCGACGACCUGAAGGACAUGAACUCGGUGCUGGAGUCCAUCUCAGCAGCGCUCUAGGACGCUGACACCGGUAGAAAAACGACCUUCCAUCGUCAACAAAAAUCCCGGUAGCUUUUUUACUCGGUACUAAAGAGGUUUUAAUCUCGUGCAAACACCUUUAGUCCGGAUUGCUGUUACCACGCAACCCGAACUAAAGCGUCCCCCACGAGUUACUAUAUAAGGAUUGCAUCCUUUACUCAGUCAGAUAUAAUGUGUAGGUGAGAUGGUAAGGAAGCUAUACGUGAGGCUUCAGGUUGUGGGUUCGAAUCCAAGGAGAAGUGGGUGCAGCUGUGGCUUAAGCGGCUGAGGCACGCCGCCAUAGACAUCUCAGAUUUGCUCGAAGACUACCAAGACACUAGUGAACCCUUAACAGUAAAGGUGAGUACUUAUGAAUGUCAGCAUCCAUGUUGUCCAUGCUUCCAAUGUAAUAACAAGAUGGACUACUCUUCCUAGCGGACUCUUCACAACCACUCGUAAAGCUAUACGUUUCUCAAUGCAAUUUCGUAGAAGCCAAUCGAUCCAACCAAGUGACUAAAUCAUUCAUCCUUUCCAAUGAUGUGCAUCAGGUUUUCUACAUGAAGGGCAUCUCUAGCAAACCCAAGAUUUCAGAAGAAAAAGAAAAAUCAUUGGAGCCAAAGAGCCACAUAGUUCUUCCAGGAAAAAAAAAUCAUGGGAGUCGAGAACAAAUCAAACCAAUCAGAGGAUUAUGGUCAGCUUAAUGGCAUGCCUCCAUUCGAUGUCGAAGUUCACCCAAGCAUCAUGUUAGCCAAACAUCAAAUGUUCGUGCGUUGUUACGGUAAAGAUCAAUUGUGUUUUUUAAACUCAUGGAAUUUUUUUUCUAAGUUUUUAUUACACUUAUUGGAUGUCUACACAUUUGCUAGAAAACCAAAAUAAUUUGGACUUAAUUAUUUCUUUCAACUGAAGUACUCACUAAAUUUCUACCUUUUUAUUUAAGCAAGAGAGUUGCUAAAAAAAAUGGAUACAUAACCAUGUUGUAUCGUACAAAGCAACCACAUUUCACAUAUAGUCCGGCUUACCAAACACCAUUUUUUACUGAACAUAGCGUACAUGAGUUAAGAGACAUGGAUUUAUUUCUAUUGCAAGUAGCAUAGCGUACAACCUGCCUGCACCGAUGCAGCUCAAUAUGCGAUAAUUUUUAUCUUCCCAUGUAAUUUUUCUACUCUAGUACAUAUUGAACUCCACAUUAAUGUCAUGUUCUUUGGCGCCCCAGACGGUUCCUAAAGUUUGGAAACAAAAUAGAUAGCCAGAAAUUUUUUUAAAAAAUAUUUAUAUGGAUAUUUGUAUGUUCUUUGCAAACUAACAAUAUUGUUUACCAAUAUCAAAAGGAAUAUGGCUAGGAGCCAUUGCCGCAUAUGGCAGGUGAUGGUAGAUGGCGUAUGGGAUUUCGUUAAUUUAAUGGUAUAAUAAGCUGAAAUACAUUUUCUAUUUGCAAAUGAAUCAUAGCUGAAAGUGGUGAGAUUGUUUUUUCGCCGGUUUAGCAUCCUGUGCACCGGUUCAACUGGAGGGAAGCGGUUCACCGAGACGGAUGACAAUUUUACGGCAGAAUCAUUACUUGUUUUAUUAUUAGGUGAAGAUUUUAGCUUUUAGGUAUCUCACAUUAACAAUCUGUUUCUAGUGUAUAAUGUAGGAGACCCGUAAAGAGUCUACACACACAUAUAUAUGUUGACUAUGAAUGUAAGUUUGUUGGUUUUAUGUAUGUUCAUUUGGAGUUUAUAUAAAUUUUACAUUUUAUAGUUUUGUGUAUAUGACGAAGAUCCAUGACUUGCAUUAAUUUAACCUUUCUUCCAACAACUCUUAUGCAUGCUGUUUCUAGGGGAGCGCACUGGUUGCAAUUUUGGUCCCCGAUAUAGCAUGAGGACUUAAGGGAGACGGGCACGUCGUAACCUUAGAUAUUUUUGCAAGAAGCAAAUUAUACUUUGCUUUUGAUUUUCUCCAUGCCAUUUGCUGACUCUUAUCCCUUUUAUUUAUCAUUAUAAGAUGAAAAUAUUGUAAAAACUUGGUUACGUGCGGUCGCAGAAGCUAGAGACUAUUUCUUUUUUUAAAAAUACGCAAGAGGGAGAAACUUGGUAACAGCUAGACAGUGAAGAUCGCAUUUCAUAAGAAAGAUGGUGCACGUUCUUGUUUGGCUGUUAACGAAAUGACUUCGUUUCACCACACCACCAGAGAGCCCCAUUGCACUUGCAGCAAAAGCGUGGAGCCGCUUUCAACCAGCGUGCAAUAAUGCAGUCCCGCGUGUCUUGGUCUUACAGGAUAUUUGGUUCUUUAGUCCGGACUAAAAUUCAUGUCGCAUAGAAUAUUCAGAUGUUAAAUAGGAGGACUAAACAUGAGCUAAUUAUAAAAAUAAUUACACAAAUGGAGGCUAAUUCCCAAGACAAAUCUAUUAAGUCUAAUUAAUCCAUCAUUAGCACAUGUUUACCGUAGCACCGUAUUGUCAAAUCAUGGACUAAUUAGGCUUAAUAAAUUCGUCUCGCAAGUUAGUCUCCAUCUAUACAAUUUGUUUUAUAAUUAGUCAAUGUUUAAUACUCUAUCUAAACAUUCAAUGUGACUGAAAUUUUAGGAGGUCCUAAAGAACCAAACACCCCUUAGUCUCCGCCUGAACUAUAGCAGGUGCUGGCAGCGGUAGCAGGGUCGUCCAUUAUAUCUAUGGAUGGAAAUGAUCUGAUUCGGAUGGAAUCGAAUUCGAAUAGCACUUUUUACCACAUACUAAUCUGAAUUGGAUGUUCUCGAAUGUGAAUGCAAAACGGAUAGUUCAAAUUUGAAUACUUUGCGGAUUUUUGCAUAAUAUUAAUCGAAGAGAAUUUGUUAAAUUUAGCCGAGACAUAAAUUUUUCUAAAUUCAAAUACUUUGCAGAUUUUCGAAUGCAAAUUUUUUCAUACGAUCUCGGUUGAAUACAAACUUUAUAUCAAAGUUGUAUAUUUAGAUUAUAUAUAAAACUUUGUAGUUGACCUCCUUUUCAUUUAAAAUUUUUUAAUAGCUCAAAACAUUAUUCUAAGCUUUCUAAUUUCAAAAUCUUGAAUUUUAAAUUUUUCAAACGACCUCGGAUGCAAACAAGCUCUAUAUCAAAGUGCUUAAUGAGAUAUAAAAUUUUGUAGUUGACAAGUUUUUUAGUUGAAAACAUUUAGUUAUCACAAACAUACAAGUUCUUCAUUUGAUGUCGAGGAUUGGAAGUGUUGAGUUUGAAGAAUAUAUUCUUUGAUUACAAACUUUUCCAUAUGAUCUUGGAUGAAUACGAACUUUAUUUCAAAGUUGCAAAUUUAGAUUAGACCAAAAACAGUAUAGUUUACAAUUUUUUCAUUCAAAAUUAUUUAGUAGCUCAAAAUGUUAUUCUAAACUCUCUAAUUUUGAAAUCUUGAAUUUUAAAAUUUUCAAAUGACCUCGGAUGCAAACAAGCUCUAUAUCGAAGUGGUAGUUCUUAAUGAGAUAUAAAAUUUUGUAGUUCCAUCUGAGAUCAUUUAACAGUCACAAAUAUACAAGUUUUUCAUAUGAUGCUAAGGAUCAGAAAGAUUAAGUUUGAAGGCUGUAUUUUUUUAAUACAAAUUUUUGCAUACGAUCUCGGAUGAAUACAAACUUUAUAUCAAAAUUGUAGAGCUCGAUGAGAAUUUAAACUUUGUAGUUGAUAUAUUUUUCAUUCGAGAAUGUUUAGUGGUCCAAACAUGUAUUAUAAGUUCAGAGAAGAAACACACAAUCGGCCACGUCAUCAAUUGACAACUUCCAAACUGAGCAUUCCUAUUGGUUCACACCUUUCCCUUUCAACUCGUCAAGCUUAUCUCCUCCCACUCCUCCAUCGUUCACUCCCCCUUCCCCUUCCUCUCUCCCUCCCUCCCUCCGCUCCAGCAGUGGCAGCCCGACCUGCCUCCUAGGACGGUGGUGUGCGGGGCUCGGGCAUCCCUGGCCUCUAGUGGCGUGGCAGGGCGGCCUCCAGCAGCGAUGGCGGAACUCGGCCUCCGGUGGCGCACAGGCAGCGCAGCCUACCUGGUCAAAGGCGGCGCAACAGGGCGACCUCCCCAGCCUCCGGCGGCGCGCAGGGCAUCCAUGACCUCCCCGGCCUCCCUUGCCAGAGGUGGUGCGCGGGGCUGCGCCGACCUCCCCAACCAGAGGUGGCAAGGCCCCAGCUUACGGCGGCGCGUGGCUCCCCAGCUAGGGUGUGGUGGGGCGGCGGCAAGUCAGGCGUGGCCGCGUGGGGGUGGGGGGAGGGGGUUGGGCUGGGCGGAUUCAGAUAGUAUCCAUUUAACCAUCCGAAAUGUGGAUAUCCGUUUAACAAUCCGUUUAGCAAAACCGAAUUUGGAUACUUCCACUUAAGUAUCCAACUAGGAUUCGAAUGCGGAUGGUCCUACCAUAUUGUUAUUUCAGCGGAUACGAAUAUGGGAUAAUUCGAAUAACGACUUACCCAUCCCUGAUUAUAUCCGUGUAAAUAAAUAAUUGCGGCAGCAGGUUCCCGUCGCCACGCCCCCGUCAAACCAAACAAUUGCUUGCGCGACACCGUGUUACUAGAUCUUGUACAGUACUCCCUCCGUUGCAGUACUCCCUAAUGAAAGUUGAGAAUCGAUCGACAACCACGGCUAGUUGCUAUGCACUCGAUCAGAUGGUCCAGGCGCCCGCUGGUAAUCAGGUCGUGGUUCACGCGCAUCAGGCCAGCUAUGACGUUGCCAGCAGUGCUCAGUACACAAAUCUAGCUAUCAGUCGGAUCCAAUUGGGCAGGCAUUUGCACUGUGGUUGUGUUUGAACCUGUAGAUGUCGUUGUCAUUAUCAGGCACCAUACAUCCUCUCUCAGAGGGUGUUUCACCCCCUAAACUUUAGCCCCUCUCACAUCGAAUGUUUUAGAUACUAAUUAGGAAUAUUAAACAUAGAAAAUUUACUAAACCCAUUACAUGGAUGGAGGGUAAACGGCGAGACAAAUCUAUUAAAUCUAAUUAGUCCAUGAUUUGACAAUGUGCUGCUAUAGUAACUAUUUGCUAAUGAUGGAUUAAUUAGACUUAAUAGAUUUUUCUUGCUGUUUAGCCUCCGUCUGUGCAAUUAGUUUUAUAAUUAAUUCAUAUUUAGUCCUCCUAAUUAGUCUCCGAAUAUUUGAUGUGACACGGACUAAACUUUAGAUAGCACACCAGGGACCGACACCAUGCAUGCUGAUUUCAUAUCAUAAUUAAGGAAAGUGAUAUCAUAAUUAAGGAAAGUGGUAGCAUCCAAGAAAUCGAUCAUGUUUCUUCCCCCUUUGGCUUUCCUACUAGGAUUUGGAUAGCGGGCCUUCCUACUAGGAUUUGGAAUCCGCUAUCGCAUGACUAUCUUAAUUAUGUCCCAUAGUCCAAAACUCACAAAACAUCAAAAAUCCAUCGAGAAUAAAUUAAGUAAAAAACAUGCGCACACAGAUAAUAAUAAUAAUAAUCAUGUUUCAAUAAAAUUGCUAAGAUUAGAGAUAGUACAUAAACAUAUUAGAUUGUUCGUGACACAUAUCAUGGUGGAUAGUGUCUGUGUCCUUAUUACAAGCAGCGAUAGAUGCUUGUCACCACACACACGCACGCACAGAUGCACGACAUACAUAUAGUUGAGACCAACGGAUGGACGUCCCAUAGGGUGAAUAAUUUAUUGGAGAUAAAUAUUAACAUAACUUGGCCAUAGCUUGAAGCAUAGCAACAUAUGCUUAUGAAUGGCAUUCAUGCGGGUAGCAAUGCUAUCAUAUGCUUUUAGGCUUGUCCUUAGCUUCUUCCAUCUUAUAGCAAACACUGCCAUUUCUUCCAUCUUAGCAGCAACUGUCAAAUUAAUUGAGAUAUGGAAAUCCCAUUAGCGCAUGAGUUAAUUUUGCAGUGGAAAUAGAGUAGAAGAUGUCUUCAUAAUGUAAGUAAUAUGACUCUGACAUAGGGAGUGAAGUCAACAAAUUACAUUAACGGAAAUGCAUGGAAGGCCACGCAUAUGUAUUAGUCCGAUAUGCUACAAAGCUUGUAUGUACAUAUAAUAAAUUAAAUGCAUUGAAUAGAGUGAUUUUAGUGAAUUUACCUAAAUCGGAUUAAAAAACAUGGGAAACAACAAGUGUUCUUGUAGGGCUUUGUUUAGUUCCCAAAUUGGGAGUAGCAAAGUUUGCAUUUUACCAUAAAUGCGCAACUAUAGCAUGUAGCAUUUUGUUUGUAUUUGUGAAUUAUUAUCCAAACAUUGACUAAUUAGGCUCAAAAGAUUCAUCUCGCAAAGUACAACAAAACUGUGCAAUUAGUUUUUGAUUUCGUCUACAUUUAGUACUCCGUGCAUGUACCGCAAGUUUGAUGUGAUGGGGAAUCUUGCUUUUCAAUAGUGACAAAGUUGGGAUUUCGGGGGGAAGGCCUGUGUCGGAGCCACAUGCAAGAAUGGCUGACAUUGAGGCUCAGACAAAGCCCAAUGGCAACUGCUGACAUGCGAUUAAAUUUAGAUAUCCACAUCCAGCCAUUCACAUUUAUGAGAUAUGGACACGGUGCAAAUGGGUGGGGUCCUGAUAUGGAGGUGCGAAUGGCUGUCUACUUGUAUAGUGUAGCUCCAAUGUACGUAUAUGUAUCUUAUGCAUGUAUACAGUUGCACAAACUCUGAACCAACUCUUCAUAACAGGUCUUUGUUACCAAGUAACUUUACUUUUGCACGUUUCAGCCGAGAGGUAGAAGAGAAUAUUUUUGCAUUUUCCAUGUGCGUCAGUGGUAGAGAACUAGGAAUUAGUUCCGGAUGGUAGGGCACAAAUCUUCCAAACAACUAUCCGAAAUUAAGCAAUCGAGAUAAAGGGUGCCAUCUAUUCUCUCCGAAAAACACAGGUACCAAAAAGAAGAAGAGAAGAGGGAGGGCCUCCCGUUAAGGCCCGCUCGGGGUCUCCAUCCCACCACGCGCCCUCCCAACCCAAAGCCCAUCGUUUUCCCUCCGUCCCUCCCCUCUCCAUUGCCGCCGCCGCUCCCCUCAUCCGAGCUCGAUACGGGUGGUCGGCGGCCCCUCCUCUCCGCUCCCGCCCCCGGCCUCCCUUUGACCGCCGGGCGCCGGCAUCACUGCCGCGGCCAACCCCAGGGCGCAGCGCGUGCCUCUAUUUCUCUCCCCCGUUCAAGGGCCCUUUGAUGGCGACGAGCACCCACCCACCAGGUAUGCCCUCCCCUUCUCUUCCUAACCCUAAUAUAUUCGGAUCUCACCCAGUCACAAUAUAUUACCUAAUAGCUUCGAUUUUGUUUGCAAAAAUCAUCACGUGCGCACCCAUGUCCGCUAGAUUCUUGCGCCUGAUCCUGUGCUGCUAUGGUUUGGGCGGGGUAGACUAGUUGAUUCGUGCACUUUUGGGUGCUUGUAGUGCUAGGUUUUGGAGGGGGAUAGCCCAGUUGAUUCCUCCGUUUUGGGUGCUCAUGGUGAUAGGAUUUGGAUGGGGAUAGCCCCAAUGAUUCGUGCGCCUUUGGGUGCUGGGGAUAGUUUUGGGUGCCUGGAUAGUCCAGUUUCAAUGUCAGUAUAUGCGUAUUUUGGGGAGAAUUUUGUUUUGGGUGGUUCUGGUGCUAGAGUUUCUGAUGCUUAGUAGCCCAGUUUCAAUCAAAUUCCCCCAUGGGUCGUGCACUACGGGAAACAAGAAAAUUGCCGAGUGUAUUUUUUUUGUCGAGUGUUUUUUUUCGAGCACUCAGCAAACAAGCUCUUCGCCGAGUGCCAAGUCAAAAACACUCGGCAAAAAAAAACACUCGGCAAAUCGGGGCUUUGCCGAGUGUCAAAUAAAAAACACUCGGCAAAGAAGGGGGUUUGCCGAGUGUUAAAAAAAACACUCGGCAAACAGGAGGGUUUGCCUAGUGUUUUUUUGACACUCGGCAAAAAAAUAAUUGUUUUUCCUCUUUUCACCUUGAAAUUUUUUCUACUCCCCACAUACAACACGUGGUACUCCAUGUUAAAAUUUGGUAUAUUUUUGGAUUUAUUUGCUAUAUUUAUUUAAUUAAUUGCAUUACAAGGAAAUUUUUGGUAUAAGUCAAAUUUGAACUGCAAGUGAUUCAAAUUGUGGAACAAAAUGAGUAGAAAAAUGAUAUUCAUGUUAUUUGGCUCAAUUUGAGACCUGACCCAUGAAAUGAAAAGAAAUUUCGAACAUCUUGUUCAGGAAACACGACAAUGAACAUGUGGCGGUAGUAUUUUUAAAUUGUAAAAAAAACAAGCAAAGUCUGAAAAUCAUGAGAUUUGUAGUUAUGUGAUGAUAUAAUACGUGGAAGCUGUGGAAAAAAAUUGGAAAGGUUUUGCACAUUUCAUCAUGUACGAUGAUUACAAACCGAAGCAUAUCAGAAGAAGAAUAGUAACUUUGAGAAGGAUUCGAUAAAAUUUAGAGUCGAAGUGACGGUCGAGUUCGGUUUGACUACAAAACUUUUUGUAUAGUCAGUAGAGAACAUAUCUUAUUUCGUGUGAAAAUUUGGUAUUUUUUGAAACUGUUGGAUAUUUUUAAUUUUUUUUUAAAAAAACUUUGCCGAGUGUCCUAGGGUAGACACUCGGCAAAGAAAAACUUUACCGAGUGCCCGCCUAGGACACUCAGCGAACCUUUUUUUAAACCUACCGGCUCCGGCCGGCCCAGCCCACAAACACCACCCGCCCCCCGCCCCCGCGCCUUCUUCCUCACGCCGCCCCCGCCCCCCACCCGUGCCUCCGGACCGCCCCCUCCUCCCCCUGGCCUCCCCUCACGCCGCCCCCCUCCUCCCCUAGCUCCCUCCACCGGCGGCCCUCCCUCCCCCGGCGCACAUCCUCCACUCCUCCUCCCCUUCCCUUCCCUCCCCUCCCCUCCCCUCUUCCUCCCCUGGCCGGAUCUGGCGCCCCUAGCUCCCCUUUCUUCCGCGGCCAGAUCUGGCGCCCUCCCGGCGGCGGGUCGUGGCGAUCGGGGCGGCGGCGGCGGAUCAGGCCGCGGGGCGGCGGCGGCGGCGGGUCGUGGCUACCGGGGCGGCGCCCUGCCCCUCCCCUCCCUCUCCAUCUCCGGCUGCCGUCCACCCCCUCCCCGGAUCCGCCCCCCUCCCCUCCGCGCGGCCAGCCCCUCCUCCCUCUCCGGCCGCCGCCCCGGCCCCUCCUCUCCCUUUCUCCGGCCACCGCCCCGCCCAUCUUCUCUGGAUCCGGCCGGAUCCGGCCGCCGCACAGCCCCUCCUCCCCGGAUCCGGUGGGCGCGGACUUCGUGGUGGUGGCGCCGGAUCCCUCCCCUCCCUCUCCAGAUAACUCCCUCCACUCCUCCGCUCUUCCCCUCUCUCGCGCGGCGGCCUCUCUCCGGCCGCCGCCCCGCCCCUCUCCCCGGAUCCGGGGGGGGGGGGACUCCGCCCCUCUGCCCCGGAUCCAGCUCCCCGACCCGCGAGUGGGGCGAGCUUGCUCAUGCGGUCGACGUCGAGGCCAGGGUGUGGUGGAGGUGGUGGCCGGCGGGUGUGGUGGUGGUGGCGGCGGCGGGCAUGGCGGCGCGGAGGCAAGGCACGGCGGCCGGUGGGAGGCACGGGUGCAAGGCGUCGACGGCAGGAGGCAAGGCACGGCAGCAUGGGAGGUGGUGCUGUGGUGGUGGUGCUGGCGGUGGUGGCGGCGGCGGAGCAGGAUGUGGUGGUGGCGGAGGAUGUUUUUUUUUCAAAAAUUUGUUGCCGAGUGUUUUCUCGGCACUCGGCAAAGACUUUACCGAGUGCCCGACACAAAACACUCGGCAACUCAGUGUUUGCCGACUGAAAAAUUGCCGUGUGCCGUUUGCCGAGUGUUACACUCGGCAAACGGUUCGCCGAGGGUUUUUUGCCCUUCGCCGAGUGCCCCUAGCACUCGGCAAUUUCACUAUCUCCCGUAGUGGUGGCUGGACUUAUGGGGGGAUCAUUGAUGGGGGACUAGUUGGAUACUUUUUGGCUGUUUUGGGAGUCCUUGGCAGCGGCUUCUCAGGGCGUACGUAGCCCAUUGUAGAUUCCAGCCGAGAAGAUUAAGGAAUUGUGACUGCAACCAUGUUACUUUUCUAGGACUCUGUUUCUGAUAUUGUUCCCGCUGCAUCUUUUCAUCCCCAUGGUGAAUGUUGCUGUUGAUCUGUAGAUUGGAUUUGUUCCUCGGUAGCUUUAUUAGAUUUGUGCUGAAUGAUAAUCUCUGCCUGUGAUAUUUUUCUUCAUUGCGGAUGUGUGCCGAGUAUUAUCCCCUUUGUUCAUUCUGUUGGCUUUUUUUAUUGUCUCUGUACUCGGCUGUUCAGCUUGUGCAGCUAAUGAUCUAAUGUAUUUUGUCGUAACUAUGUAUUUUUCGGAUGUGUGCCGAGUAUUAUCCCCUUUGUUUAUUCUGUUGGCUUGCUUUCAUUGAUCUUAAGAUAACUGGUGCUAUAAAUUCACACUAGCUGAUGCACUUGCAAAUAGCUAUGUAAAUAUGAAAAGAAGUAUUUUUUUAUCCUUUUGUUUGUUUGGCAUCAUAUCUGUUUAAAUGGCAUAGCAAUAAGAAUUUUUUGUUUUUGGGGAAUCAUAUCUGCUUAAAUGGUAUAGAAAAUGCUGAGUGCACUGUCAAAUAGAUUUUCCAGCAGUCUGCUUUCAGUUGUUUUUGCAAAUCCUCACAGGCCAGUGAACUGACUUUGUUUUUACCACCCCAUGCCAUUUAAAUGACUAAAUCAGUCAGCCUAAUACUAUAUAUGGUCAUGCUAUGAUCUUAUUUCUUGAAGCUCUAUAGGUCAACCCAUAAGGGUAACUUAGUUUUUCCUAUUCUGGCUGGGGAAGUGGAUACGAUGGCUAUCCUUGGUAGAGUUAAAUACAUUGGCGGCUCUUAGCGCGCCAAUGUGGCACCACAAUAUCGAACAUAUGUAGAAACCCCCUUGUUUUUUCUCAUAUCCCUCUCUCUCAGCGUCCUCUUCUCUUCUUCUCCUCUGUCUCCUCCCCUCCCAUCGCGUGCUUUAUUGCGCCGCCGCCAUCCGCCUCCAUGUAUGAACACGUCGUUUGUCAUGAAGAAGCAGUUGAUGAGGCAAUCAAGCAUGUGGUGCACAAGGUUCUUCUGCUGGCCAAGUCCGAGUCGAACAGCCGCGCAUUCAUUGGGGAAGCACGCGCCAGGCAUCACCAGGCUCCUCGUGCCCCUACUCUGCUCCAAGGACUCGGUGCUUCGACGCGCUGCUUUCCCUGUCCGGCGAGCGGGGAUCGUUGGGAGAUGAUCGAUGGAGGAUGGAGCUGAUCCUCCUGUACACGGUGCCGGUGGGGAGCAGGGAGCUGCGGAGCAGGUCCACGGGCGGCGCCAUUACAGCAGGUGCAGGCUAAGGGUAAUGAGCAGAUCGAGGCGAUGGAGGAGGACCCGCACGAGGUGCAGCUUCUUCGCCUCCUGCGCAAAGUCAGCGCCCAAGCAGCCGCUGAGGGACAGGCCGAGGCUUAGCUCGAUCUCAUCCGACUAAAUGGUGGCUGCACUCCCACAGUCCCACUGGUGCUCCUCCCUUCUGUCCGAACCUGCCGAGGAAAUCCCUCGAUGCCAUGGGUCCCGGCUGGACGACUACUCCUCCCACAGAUUGACUGAGGAAGAAGAGCUUCUCAGUGUCCAAAAAUUCAGUUACACUGGAAACAGCAACCAAUUACGUUCUUCCGGCUCAGCCAAGCCCCAAUCUCCUUGCUUCUGUGCGCCCCUGCUAAAUAUUCCAGAAACCAAUCUGGUUAGUUGUUUUUUCACAUUUUCAGUGCAUGCCGGUGCUGCUGUGUGCGGCAUGCAUGGAGUUGUCGUGGGAGUGCACGGUGGCUUAGCUGGUGCGCCAGUGCGCGGGCACGAACACAACGGUGAAGAUGGCAGGGCCAUCUCAAAGCUCCUGAGCACCUGCACGCGUCGCUGAGCAGGACAUGCUGCGACGGUGGGCGAGCGCUGCUAACGCCCUGGGGAAGAGCAGUGGGUGCAGAGAGAGGGAGCGAGGGAGAGGGGUUCUUGUAUAUGUUUGCUAGCGUGGCACCGUUUACGGUGCCCGCCUAAGUGGCAUUCACGUGUCAUUCAUCCCAAAUGGUGUUGCAAGGUUGAACCUAUUGUGGGAGGCUUUUGGUUUCCCUUGACAGUAUCACCAGUGAUAUCACUGCGUUCUGGUUAUGUAUGAAACACUUGUCCUUUUAAAACCUUUCUGAAUUUAGAAACGAAUUUGAAACAUUACCCUCAUUUCCAUGUUUUUCUAUCUUUUGUCCCUGUAAAAUCAAACUAAAUUUGAAUUAUUAUGUUCAGAACUACAAGCUGAUUUACUUGUCCCAUUUGCUAAUAACAGGGCCUUGUGAUUUCUAAUGAACAUUGCAGAGCAUGUUAUAAAGCGUAUGCAUGAACACCAAGGGGAUGAAACCAUUGGUAUAUUUCUCACAACCUUUUGAACUUAUCAUUUAGCAUAUUUGUGUUCUAGUGUGACGUUUCAGCCACGAGACAUGAGAAAUGUUAGCUAUGGAUUUUGGUUAUUCAUCAUGGGUUCACAGAUUUGUUUUUCUCUAAAAGAAUUGGGAAGUAGCUUUCUUUCUGGGUAUAUGUGGGGAAAUGCAUAUGCAAUCUUUUAUUUAUUGAGGUGACUGUAAAAUUCUUGUCUGACUGAAUAUGCGAUUUCAACCUACAUGCUAUACUUAGGGAAAUUUGUGAAUCUCCUAAUGUCUGCUGCAUGGCAUGAAUGCAUAUUUUACUGGUCCAUAAUGUGAAGUUCUGUAUAUAAACUUCUCGUGUUGACCCUUUAGAACAUGCUAACUGGAGAGUUUUCUAGAGUAGUUAAACAAGAGAUUUAGUUAAAUCUGCACACAUAGGUGGGGCCUGGCAUACCCUAAGAAUCGGCCUAGCCGGUCAGCCCAUUAGUAAAAAAAAAAGCACCGCAGUCAGCAGUCCCCACGUUGGUCUUCCUCGAGUCGCGACUCGCGAAGCUCCCAUCCUCCGAGUCCAAGAUGGUGGACUGUGUCGAGCGCGGGGCGGGCGAUUAGUUGCCCGGCCGCCGGCGGGGGAUGGCCGGACGGCCAGAUCGCCGACUCCUCUAGUCCUCCCUCCAGCCUCUGCGCUUCUUUCACAGUGGAGCUAGCGGCGAGGCGCCCGACCGACACCCUUCUUCCCAAAUCCCGGCAGCCCUACCUCGAUUUGGCCUCCUCCGAUCAUUUGAUAAUCAAUUUGAUGAAAUUAAUAUGGAGUUGCUUUCUUGUAUGGUUGCCUUCAAUCCUGCUAAUUCAUUUGCUUCAUUUGAUGCACAAAAGAUACAUAGACUUGCUAUAUUUUUAUCCACAAGACAUCACAAGCACGGAUUUGCUAAAACUUGAAUUCCAGCUCGAUAUUAUAUUGAUGAUGUGAGAUAGGAUGAUAGUUUCAAAGGCCUACAAGAUCUUGUUAACUGAGACUCAGUUAAGCUUGUUGAAACAAACAGGCAUAAUAUUUAUGACUUGGUUUACUUGCUUCUCAAAUUGGUAUUGGUUCUUCUUGUGGCGACAGCUAGUGUUGAAAGGGAUUUUUGUGCAAUGACUUUGAUCAAGAGUAAGCUAAGAAAUAAGAUGGGUGAUAGUCUUUUGGAUGAUUGUCUUAUCACAUUCAUUGAGAAAGAUAUUUUCUUUGAAGUGGAUGAAGAAGAUAUAAUUAAGACUUCAUAUCCAUUAGAAAUCGUAGGCUGGAGAAGAAGUAAUAUUUUAAUUUUCUUUGAACGUUAGGUCUGUAAGCUUCUUUUAAACUAUCUACAUUAUAAUUUAUGGACCUUUUAAUUUAACCGUUGAAUUCAUGAUAUUAUGAGAUUUUUUUAUCUAUGUUAUUAUUGUUUACCGAUUUAUUACCAAAUUAUUAGUUUGAUCUUACAAUAUUGUAUUUUGGAUGAUUGGCUCGGCAUACUCUAAGUUUAAAUCCUAGCUCCGCCACUGUUUGCACAUUAAUGUGGCUUAUAUGUGUGGAGUCACUUAACCUAUGCACUUGGACCUCCACUCCCUUAGGUUUUAUGAACCUAAUUUGACAGCCUGCUCGUCUUUUAUUUUCUACCAAUCAGCUAGGAACGAACAUGGUGAUGUUUGCAUCUCUGCCAUCAAUGGCUUACAUGUCAUUAUGUAUCACAUUAGCAAGUCUUGUUUUGUUAUUGGCUGGGAUGACGGGGACUCUAGCUGGAAUUGAAUCAAAGUGGUAGAUCACAGGGUAUUCAUUGCCAUGUAUUUCUGCAGUUGCAUGGACUUGCAUCAAACGGACCUUCCUACUUAUGUGAUUGUCCUAUAUGAUCUCCUUUGAUUUCAUUUGCACACUGUAAUCACAUUAGCUAGAACACUCGCUUUUUGCUUCAAAUUUGAAAUUCAUAUCAUGAUGGACUAGAACGCUGAAUUUCUUGAUUGCUGAGUUACUAAUCACAUUGUGGCGCUGCCAAAGAAGCUGGACUCUUCAUUGUUGUUGCCUUGUGGGCUGCCGUGUGCAAAGAACAAGAGCGCACGGUAUUAUAAUAGCAGAGCAGAACACAGACAAGCGACAAGGAGCGGAGCAGAGCAGAGCACAGCCAGGCACAAGCAGUAGAGUAGAGCAGAGCAACCGGGAGAGGAGAGGGCACAUAUGCAGAGUAGAGCAGAGCCAAGCGCAAGCAUUCAUGCACUCAAGCAUGCAGCAGAGGUGUAGCAAGGCAAGCACAAGCAGCAGAGCAGAGGGAAGGGAAGGCUGGGAGAUGAAUAGGCGAAUAGUUACCUGGACAGAGCAGAGGGAAUGGAGAUGAUGCAGAUGCUUCCGGAGACUCGAGAUUUGGAGAGGAACAAGGCCACGUUGUGAACAAGGUCUCCUUUCUCUUCUCUAUUUCCCGCGCAAGUACUUGUGCAUAGUGGCUGCCUCAUCCUCCAGGACGUCCACUUCAACCUGAGGCGGGUGCCACAGACAUCCUGGCUAUGCGACGGCUACCCCCAGCACACCCCCGGCGCCUAUGAACCAUGAUCCUAAUACUAUAAAUUGUCAACCUUGUAAUCUUAUUUCAAGCAUGCUCUCUAUGUCAACCUGUAAGGUUAACUUCGUUUUUCCUUUUCUGGGUAGGGGAGUGGAUAUUGCUGUUAUUUAUAUUAUGUUGAUAUUGGUUUCCACAUGUCAUUCACCCCAAAUGUGUUGCAAGGUUGAACCUAUCAUCGGAGGAAUUUUUUUCCCUUUACCUUUAUAUCACUACGCUCUGGUUAUGUAUGAAACACUUGUCUUCUUAAAAACCUUAAUUUAGAAACAAAUUUGAAACACUAUCUUCAUUUACAUCCUGUAUGUGUUUUCUACCUUUUGUCCUAUAUGAUCUGCUUUGAUUUGAUUUGUGCAUAGUUUUUUCAAUUCAGACCUGGUGAUUUCUGAGGUUCAUGUUGUGCUGAUAAGCAGCCUACUAUUCAGUAACACUUUCAUGUGGCAUGUUCAUGUUAGCUAGCUAGAAACACUGCUUUUAGCUUCAAAAUUCAAAUUCAUGACAUGAUGGACAUUGACAAUGAAUUUCUUGAUUGCCGAGCUAUGUACACUGUAAUUCAGACCUGGUGCUUUUAGUUUUUUUCUUGAUUGCCGAGCUAGAAACACUGUGCUUUUAGUUUUUUCAAUUCAGACCUGGUGAUUUCGGUUUUUUCAAUUCAGACCUGGUGAUUUCUGAGGUUCACGUGUCACACCGAUUUUAAGAACAAAAUCGAGUGCAUUAAAUAUACAUGUACGCUAGGAUCAGGUUACACACAUGUACGACAUAAGCGAAUAUCAAAGACAAUGCCAUAACGAAAUAAAGAGAGUAUUAAUCAUUAUUACAUGACCGAAAGUCUCAAAUAAACCACAAAAUCUAUUUAUUACAUAGCGGAACUUCUAAGAUAGCAACGUCUCCACAGGCAGCUGACUGAAGAACUGUAUGCCUAGAACUCUUCAAAAUCGUGCAGGUACUCCUCCAGAUUAGCUUGGUAUGAACAACGGUUUUGCAAGGGUGAGUACACUUAUGGUUGGUACUUAAUAAGUCGUGGGAAACAAUGUAGUGUAAGGCAAAUCAAGGUAUGGCUAAGGCUUAAACAGCAUCAGCUUUUAAUUUAGUUGGUCAAAUUUUAUUAGCAAUUAAUUAGACGUAAAUUUAUACCACCCGAAAUUAAACAAGAACAUGAAUAAAAUAAUAACAUAACCAUAAAUGAAAUGACAACAAUUUAAAUCCAUCUUUUCAUAGCAUUAUCAUGUGAGGGUCCAGUCCGUUCUUAACCGUGAGCACCGCUGAUCGAUCAGUUUUACACUCUGCAGAGGUUGUACAUCUUUACCCACAAGUCGCGUAAAAGUUCAAAAGAAUUUUGGACCCAACCAUGCGGUAUUUGCAAGGCACCAUACCACACUUCCAAGGUGUGAUUGCAUAUGAACGCUACGAGGCCUUUACAAAGAUUCAUUAGUAAGUGGUAACCCGCUAAGGUUUCGGUAUUUGGCGUGCACAACCUAUCACAGGCCGCUAAUGCAACGACUCAGUCCCCCCUCUUGCCUCAUCACGAGUAAGAUUACCCCAGACUAAGGUUUCUAAUUAUUCAGCCAAGAUCAGAACCAUUUAGUCUUGUGGUAGCACUGUUUUCCUGGGUGGUUCUCCAUGUUCCGAUUAAACAUAAUGGUCUUGUAUUAAUGGAAGGUAUAACAUAAAUAAUACCAAAUUAAUAAUAAUUCAGAUUAAAUCACCAUAACCAUAUUUGAGCACUAAGCAUGAGCUACCCAACAUAAAUUUAACCCGGUUGGUCAAGGCAAGGUAGAUAAAGUCUAGGAAAUUCUUAAUUGGGACCCAUCAAGUUUAAAUUAUACUUUGCAUGGUAUGUUGCAUAGAACAUGAAAGUAAAUGUGAAUAGGACUGAAAAGGAGUGAUUAGGGACACGACUUGCCUUUUUAACCUUGUUCUUGCUGUUCGUACUCUUCGAAAACUUUGAUCUUCAAAUCCCUUGAACUGCUGACCGUCUACACGCGUCACACGACCACAUACAAGCAAACAAAUAUAAUACAUAAGAAAACAGUACACCAAUCAUAAUUAAAUAGAAGAAACAAAUUUGAAAAGCUAUUCUACGCAUUAAAACGAAAACACGGAUACAAGGAACGUUAAAAACGGAGCUACAGUGCAAAAACUACGCUUAAAACAAGAUGCAGGGGUAUAACUACGAGAAACCAAACUUCCAGGGAUUUAAUUUUAAAUAAUUUUGAACUGCAGAAGGGGCAGCAGGGCAAAACGUAGAAAAUGCAGGGGCUUAAGCGCAAAAGCAUGGCUGCUGACUCAGCUGACUUGAUGUGGAUCGUCGGAUGGCGAUCCGGCGGCCGGCAGCUGCUGCGCUGACGUCAGCGACGGCGAGCGCCGGCGAAAAACGGCAGUUCGCCGGAAUCGCCCGGGAACGCGCGACUGGGUGCAGAUUUGAGCGAGGAUUAGACUAGCAGAUAGAAACGAGCGCAGUGAACUCAUUUGGGAUGCCUACGGCGAGGACUUGGCGACGGCAUCGGCUCCGGCGAGAACUUGCGGCAGGGAAACCAAAUAAAAUAAAAUAACACGGUUCAGAGAAGCGGCGCUGGAGGAACGCGAGCGAUUUUGCGUGCGAGCGGAAGAAAACACUGCGAGGAAGAUGACUGCGGGCCCUGCUUGUCUGCGGCAGGAGGAGAGCUGCGUGCGAGAAGAACCUGGCCACGAUCUGGGCCGUUGCCUUCGAUCUGGGCCGAGGCAAGCUAGCUGGCCCGCUGCUGCGGAAAGGUGCUGGGCCACGGGCGGAGCACAGCGUCGGGCCAGAAAGGAGAUGGCUGCUGCGAGGAAACAAAAGAAAAUGAACUGGGCUGCGACAGAGGAAAACUGGGCGUCGGCCAGAAAGAAGCUGCGUGCAGCUUGCUCUUGUUUCCGAACUAGAAACAGGAACUGACGGAAAGACAGAAAUCAAUUGGAGACUGAAACUGACGCCCCAGACUCUGAACUUCGAAAAAACAGGACAACCAGCCAACUGACAGAAAAAAAAAAGCUUAACAACCCAAAAGCAGUACACAACCACGAAACCAGGCCACAAGACUGAAAAAGCUUGAUAGGAACAUCUGGCGACUGAACCAAAAAACUACAGAACUGCAACUGAAGAACUAGAGAACAGAUAAAUAACUGAUUGAACUCUGAAACUGAAACACCAAAGAGCAGGAAGCUGACUGACGGAAAAUGCAAAACAGCAACCCAAGGUGAAACACAAAUUCUUCUUCAAGCAUUCAAACAAAGAGAUAUGCAACAGCAUGAAUGCUCAAUAAAAUCCUAUAUUUCAUUAAUUAAUUAGAAAAAAUGCUCAAAUGCCUAGAAAAAUGCAAAAGUGACCUUAUAUGCCUUAAACAAGCAAAUUCGUUUCUAGCGAUUUUUGGUAAAAUGCAAAAUUAGAGAUUUUGGGUGUUACAUCAUGUUGUGCUGAUAAGCAGCCUACUAUUCAGUAACACUUUCAUGUGGCAUGUUCAUGUUAGCUAGCUAGAAACACUGUGCUUUUAGCUUCAAAAUUAAAUUCAUGACAUGAUGGACAUUGACAAUGAAUUUCUUGAUUGCCGAGCUAUGUACACUGUAAUCACAUUGUGGGGCUGAUAAAAUAAGCAGCGUUGAGACACAUAACAAUUGAAUCUUAAGCUUCACACAGAAUCUGGACCAGUCAUCCUCAUUCCUGUCAUGCUGGAAAUGUCUUUGAUACAUUUCAAUCACAGGCAAUUGAAUUCGUACUGGGGAGGAUGGCAAUGGUGCAUGAAGAGAGAUCAAUGUGGCAAAUCUCACAUUGUUCAUUACCAGGUAUCUCCGAUUUCUGGUUAUUUUAAAUUUACCUUGACAUGUGACUUAUUGAGGUAUUGUAUUUCAUCUAAUGGUAGUUCUGAAUUUAUGGUAACCUUGGAUGGGGUUUGUCACUUUAUACACGCACGGACUUACAAAGGACAGCAAAUGAGUAUAUUUAGAGGGCUCCUGUCCAACCAUGGACUAUACUUAUGUACCCUUUUUUGACAUGGUAAUUUGAGGUUAAUGGAAAAGUAGCGAUAGUCGCCUCCAGCGAAGCUACCUUCUUCGAAAGCUCCGAGGCUGCUUUCUCGCUCUUAGCAAGCCGAUCCCUCGUAAUCAUCGAAGAGUAAGAGACCUACAGAUUUUAAAAACCAAGUUACCAAAAAUAACGAAGUAAAAGACAACACUCGCAAGACAAACCACCAAACUAUCUCAUAAUUGUACCUUCUUUACGAGGUUCGCCUCCAAGUUAAAGAGCUCUUCCAAGAUCAUUGACUUCACAGCUUGCUGAAAAUCUAUGCGCCAAAGGAUAUAGUCGUAAGCAUAAAAUAAAAAUUGGUAAAAACCAAGGACAGCAAAGCCAUCUACAAGCUGUUCUUACCCUCAUACUUUCGCACCUCAACGGCGAUCGGAACAACCUUCUCUCUAGCCUCGCCCUUAGACGCCACCACAAUCUUCCCGCCACACAAAUCCACAACCCCUCCUUUACCUUUGCCCUCUCCCGAAGUCGUCGUGCCCGCCUUCUCCACCCUUUUUGAACCGCCAACAUCUGCAUAGCGCUCGCAACCUUCACCUUCAGCCCCCCAGACCAAAGACAGGUUGUGAGGAUUAUAAACCCUACCUUCGGCGCAUGUAGCUAGAAUCUCCGUGCGCCCGCUCAAGCCCAGACACUCAUUCAGUCCCUGAAGCCCCGCCGGCAACCUCUCACCUACAUCAUAACAUUCAACUUUUAGCCUCACAUGAUCCUCACAACUAACCUUACCAACGCCCCCCAUAGUUUCUUCCAAGUCCUUCAAAAAUUUCGUUGAGGCCUCACCACAAUCAAAGAACCGUAGCAUCGAUAGAAACACCUCUACAUGCUUACCAGAUCUCACAGCUUCGGCACACCCACCCUUUGGAUCAGAUGAGAACGCAUCCACAAGCUUCGCCUUUUCGGUGGCAAACCCCCUCUCAAGUUUCCCAACAUCAGUCAAGAGAUGUUGCGCGCUCUUAAACUUCGAGCUUAUGGAAGGCACCGUGAUCUUGGUACCAGCUGCCGAAGACGCGUCAACCUUGGCACCCGUAACAGUAACAGGAGCAAAUCGAGGUUUCUUGGCGCCUCUUUUGAUCCGUGCGGCGGGCCCGGUGGAUGAAGGUGCAAGAGCUGGAACCUCCUUAGGAGGGCGCAUAGAGACAGGAACAACAUAUGCCGGAUUGCUCAAGUCGCCAGACGAAGCUGUCGACCACGAUGGCAACAUAGCAGACGAAGCCCCCGCGGUCAUUUCCUUCCUUUUUUGCGCCUCCAAAUUCAAGGUCUUUUGCUUCGCCUUAGCGGUCACUUGCAAUUCAAUAGUGAGCUUCACCAUGGGUACGAAGUCAAAUUUUGCCUUUUUCCUCUGCUCAAGACUAGCACCGCGACGGCGCCUCUUGCCCGUAACUUUGGGGUGAGGCAGAACCACAAUAUCAUACAAGUCAAAAAUCUAAGAUGAUGACAUUCCAUUUGUAUCCAUGAUUUAUAUUGUGUUCCUUGAAUAUCCAUUAAAGUCUACUUGAAUUGAUUUGCAAUUAUGUGAAUUGUAUGUGAAACUCUUUCCUUGUAUGGUUAUUCUAAAGUUGUCCCUAGUCGGAGUUCAUGUGAGGACACAUGAAUAUUAGACUAGCACAUGUAUUAGUUGAUGACUAUGUUUCACAAGUCAUGGACAUGAAGAUGUGGAACUAAUAAUGUGGGCACAUGUGGAGACACGUGCUAGGACUGACCCAACACGAGAAGUAGUUCUCUCUUUAUACAACAUAUACGCUUUGUCCUUAGACCUGAGAUUGUCGCAUGUACUCAAGAUGUGGAUCGACUUACUUAGGGGCUAUCAAAUUCUACGCCGUAACAGGGUAGUUAUAAAGGUAGCUUUCGGGUUUGUCAAGAAGCAUGCUAUGAGACAUGGUCAAUCAAGAUGGGAUUUGCCCCUCUCUGAUUGAGAGUGAUAUCUCUGGGCCCCUCGAGUGAUCGGAUCCGAAAAUGCAUGGCCAUGCUACAUACGAUUAAGAGUUAGCCUACAAAAGGAUUCCGAAUCAUAGGAUCGAGAAAGAGCGGUCGGCUUGAAGCUAGACCAAAUAUCGUGAGGCAAAGGGAAUAGCAUGUAUAUAAUGUUGUGAUGGUUCGUCUGAUAUGAUCUUCGUGUGCGUAUAGGAGUUGGCACGUCUUGCUAGAGGUCGCUACCGACUAUUGGGCCGAGUAGGAGUACUCAGGCCAUGUCUAUACGUAUCCGAACCCAUAGGGUCACACACUUAAGGGGCUGGAAGCCCAAUUCGGAUGUGAUCCGAAUUGGAUUAGGUUUAGAAGUACUAAUGGGCCUUGGACCUAGAGGCCCGUUAGGAACCUCUAUAAAUAGAGGGGUGGGGGCGCCCUAGGGUUUACACCUUUUUGGUGAAACACAUCUGCCGCGCCUCCCACGCCUUCGCCUGUUGCAACUCGCGGACCUAGCAGUCCGGCUUGCGACGCUUCCUCCCUGCACGUGUGGAUACCUUGGAAGUGUUGCUCCUGCAGCACUUGGACGAGCCGCCAACGAGCCACGACGAGCCACGAUGAGCCGACGAUGAGCCGCGGCACGAGGGGGAUCUUGCUGCACGUGGACGAGCUGCUGAGGAGCUGCUGGACGUCGAUGUGUUCGACUACGUACGACUACGCUGAUCGACUUCGCUGCAUCAACGCGAAUCUACAUCUUCCGCAUCAUUGCAUCGAGUGGUAAUCCCGUGAUCCUGAUACGGCAGUUUUCCUAGUUUACGCGGUAGAAAAUUUUGUUUUGUGCUAGUGUAGCCUAACUCAUAUCCCAACAACGUGUGCUAUAGGUCACGCAAGCCUGAAAAUGGCCACACCGGACACCGGGUACGAAAACAUGGGGGAUGGACCGAACAUUUGAAAAUGGCCUCCAUAUGUGUUUUCGGCUAUGAAAAUGUGUGUUAUAGGUCACAGAAGCUUGAAAACGGCCGCACCAGCCACUAGGGACGAAAACGUGGGGGAUGGACCAAAGACAUAAAAAAUAGCCUCCAGACGCGUGUUCGGCCAUGAAAACGUGUGGUAUAGGUCCUGGAAGGCCAAAAACAGCUACACCGGCCACCUGGGACGAAAAAGUUUGUGUAAGACCGAACACUUGAAAAUAGCCUCUGGACGCGUGUUCGGCUAUGAAAAGGUGUGUUAUAGGUCACACGAGCCCCAAAACAACCACAGCGAACACCAGCUACAAAAACAUGGGGGAUGGAUCGAAUAAUUGAAAAUGGCCUCCAGACGUUUGUUCGGCCAUGAAAUCGUGCGUUAUAGGUCGCGGGAGCCCGAAAACGGCCACACCGGCCACCGGGAAUGAAAAUGUGGGGGAUGGACCGAACAAUUAAAAAUGGCCUCCGGAUGUGUGUUCGGCCAUGAAAACGUAUGUUAUAGGUCACGGGAGCAUGAAAACGGCCGCACUGGCCACUGGGGACGAAACGUGGGGGAUGGACCGAAGACGUGAAAAUAGCCUCCAGACGCAUGUUCGGCCAUGAAAAUGUGUGCUAUAGGUCAUGCAAGGCCAAAAACAGCUGCACCAGCAACCGGGGACGAAACCAUGGCUGUCAAACCGAACGCUUGAAAAUCGCCUUCGGACGCGUGUUCGGAUAUGAAAACAUGUGUUGUAGGUCACGCGUGCCCGAAAACGUCCACAACGGACACCGGGUACAAAAACGUGGGGGAUGGAUCGAAUAACUGAAAAUGACCUCCGAACGCGUGUUCGGCCAUGAAAACGUGUGUUAUAGGUUGCGGGAGCCCAAAAAUGGCCACACCGGCCACCGAGGAUCAAAACGUGGGGGAUUGACCGAACAAUUAAAAAUGGCCUCCGAUUGUAUGUUCGGCCAUGAAAACGUGUGUUAUAGGUCAUGGGGGCCCAAAAAUGGCCGCACCAGCCACCAAGGACGAAAAUAUGGGAGAUGGACCAAAGACAUGAAAAUGGCCUCCAGAUGCAUGUUUGGACAAAAGUGUGUGCUAUAUGUCGUGCAAGGCCAAAAACAGCUACACCAGCCACCGGGACAAAAACGUGGGUGUUUGACUAAACAAGUGAAAAUGGCCUCCGGAAGCAUGUACGGCUAUGAAAAUGUGUGCUAUAGGUAAUGGAAGGCUAACAAAAGCUACACCGGCCACCGGGGACAAAAUCAUGGGUGUCAGACUGAACACUUCAAAAUGGCCUCCGGACGCGUGUCCGGCUAUCAAAACGUGUGUUAUAGGUCAUGCGAGCCCGAAAACAACCACACUGAACACCGGGUACAGAAACAUGGGGGAUGGACUGAAUAACUGAAAAUGGCCUCUAGACGCGUGUUCGGUCAUGAAAACAUGUGUUGUAGGAUGCGGGAGCCCGAAAACGGCCACACCGGCCACCAGGGCAUGGACCAAACAAUUGAAAAUGGCCUCCGGAUGUGUGUUCGGCCAUGAAAACGUGUGUUAUAGGUCACGGGAGCCCAAAAAUAGCCGCACCGACCACUGGGGAUGAAAUCGUGGGGGAUGGACCGAAGAUGUGAAAAUGGCCUCCAGAUGCGUGUUCGGCCAUGAAAACGUGCGCUAUAAGUCAUGUAAGGCUAAAAAUUGCUACACCGGGACUAAAGCAUCCCCCAUGAGUUACAAUAAAAGGAUUGUAUCCUCUACUCAGUCGGAUGUACUGUGUAGGUGAGAUGGUAAGGAAGCUAUGCGCGAGGUUUGAGGUUGUGGGUUGAAAUCCUACGCACCGCGCGCACACGCGCAUAUUUUGUGUGAAAAAUCAUGUGACUUGUGAUCGGCCAAGGAGAAGUGGGUGCAGCUGUGGCUUAAGUGGCUGAGGCACGCUGCCAUAGACAUCUCCGAUUUGCUCGAAGACUACCAAGACACUAGCAAUAACAAGAACUACUGCUCUUCCUAGCAGACUCUUUACAACCACUUUAAAGCUGUGCAUUUCUCAAUGUAAUUUCGUAGAAGGCAAUCGAUCCAACCAAGCGACUAAAUCAUUUGUUCUUGCCAAUGAUGUACAUCAGGUUUUCUAUAUGAAGGACAUGUCUAGCAAACCUAAGAUUUUAGAAGAAAAAGAAAAAUUAUGGGAGUCAAUAAUAAAUCAGGCCAAUCAGGAGAUUAUAGUAAGCUCGAUGGUAUGCCUCCAUUCGAUGUCGAAGUUGGCCCAAGCAUCAUGUUAGCCAAAGAUCAAAUGUUCGUGCAUUGCUACGGUAAAGAUCAAUUGUGUCUUUUAAACCCAUGGAAUUUUUUAUCUAUGUUUUUAUUACACUUAAUGGAUGUCUACACAUUUGCUAGAAAAUCAAAAUAAUUUUGACUUAAUUAUUUCUUUCAACUCAAAUACUCAUUAAAUUUCUACCUUUUUAUUUAAGCAAGAGAGUUGCUCAAAAAAUGGAUACGUAACCAUGUUGUAUCAUACAAAGCAACCACAUUUCACAUAUAGUCUGGCUUAGCAAACACCAUUGUUGUCUUAACAUAGUGUUCAUGAGUUAGUAGACAUGGAUCUAUUUCUAAUUGCAAGUAGUGCAGCGUACAACCAGCCUGCACCGCCGCAGCUCAAUAUGCGAUAAUUUUUUAUCUUCCCAUGUAAUUUUUCUACUCUAGUACAUAUUGAACUCCACAUAAAUGUCAUGUUCUUUCACGCCACAGACGGUUUCUAAAGUUUGGAACUAAAUAGAUAGCCAAAAAUUUUAAAAAAAUAUUUAUAUGGAUACAUGUAUGUUCUUUGCAAACUAACAAUAUUGUUUACAAUAUCAAAAGGAAUAUGGCUAUGAUCAUUGCCGCAUAUGGCAGGUGAUGGUAGAUGCCGUAUGGGGUUUCUUUAACUUAAUUGUAUAAUAAGCUGAAAUACAUUUUCUAUUUGCAAAUGAAUCAUAGCUGAAAGUGGUGGGAUUGUAGAACCGCCGGCCAUCGUGUCCUUGUAGGACCGCUGCACGAGCCUGUGAGCCACCAGCCACCAUGCGCCCAAGGGCCAUCACCACGCCAUAAGAGGAUGCUGUCUACCCGGUUUCGCGCGCCUGUGCUAGCUGCCUGAACCUGGGCCGCCGCCGGUCGCCUGCCCAGCCGCGCGUUGCGCCAGGGUUUUGCUGGUGACGACCAUGGCCUUCGCGAUCAAAUUAAAAAGUUAUCAACUGCAAAGUAUUAGGUCUCGUUGAGCUCUACAAUUUUGAUAUAAAGUUUCUAUUCAUCCGAGAUCAAAUAAAAAAUUUGAUACUCAAAGCAUAAAUCCAUUAAUCUAGUCUUGCUAAUCCUUACCACCAAAUAAAAAACUAGCAUGUGUUGUGUGUUUGUGACCCUAAACGAUCACAAAUGAAUAACUUAUGGGCCUUGCUAGCGCCCGGAUGUCCAGGCCGGGGCACUAGCAUCAGACCCACGAGUAGCCGUCCGAUCAGGUUCGACACCACUUCAGGAUCUGGCUUAAAAAGAAGUCCCACCGAAACAUUGUUCCAUGUUGCAUGAAGCAACCCACUACCGUCGCCAGGUCUAGAGCAAGCACCACCUUCAAAUGUGCUGCUCACCCUAGCUAAAUAGGGGCAUUAAAAUAUUUCUCGCAUAUCCUUCUCAAAUUAAACAAAAUCGCAACAUCUGAAAAUUUUUACAGAAAACCAUGAAACAUAUCGAUUAGAUAGAUGUAACAAGAUGGAAUAUGGUAUAUGCAACAUAUAGGUUCCGAAAAGCAGAUGAAAUAUUAUGUAAUGAUUCUUGAAACAGUCAAGAAAAAUAGAUGUAACAUCUAAAAUUAAGAAAAGAAGCUUUAUGCAAAUUGCAAAAAGCUGAAACAAGUGGUUGAAACAUUUCAAAUCACCAAAUGCCACAUUUGAAAUGACCAGAUGAAACAUCACGAAAUCAAUUGCAACAGUUGAAGAUGAAAACAUUCAAAUGCCUUGCCUUUCUCCAAAUUUGACCCUCCAAGCAUGAGUCCAGCCAUUUGCACAUUAGACCCUUGGGAGGAGCUCACCGGAGAACAACAAGACCGUGUUAUCCAACAAUUUUCAGAUCAAAUUGCAACAUAAAGAACAAAGCAUUGCAACAUCUGGCAUCACGAGCUACAACAGCAACCAGUUAGGAUCAGGAGAAAGAGGGCAAACACAAGCCUAACAAUGAGUUAUAUCCGGUUUAAACAAGGAUAAAAAUGAGUGUAUUUUACACUCAUCAUGUUGUCUUUUCGCAGCUGUACCGCCUUUAGCGUGUUGUAUUGUUCCUAACACCAAGUCUCCGAGGCCCGAAAAAAUAAGGAAAGUGGUAGCAGCUCAGAAAUCGACUAAGUUUCUUUCCCCCUUUGGCUUUCCUACUAGGAUUCGGAAUCCUCUUUCGUAUGACAAUCUUAAUGAUCUCCCAUAGUCCAAAACUCACAAAAACAUCAAAAAUCCACCGAGAAUAAAUUAAGUAAAAAAACAUGCACACACAGAUAAUAAUAGUAAUCAUGUUUCAUUAUGAUUGCUAAGGUCAGACACAAUACAUAAACAUAUUAGACUGAGUGACCCACCUCACCUCAGAGUAUGCACCAUGUCUGAGUGACCCACCUCACCUUGCCAGGACACUGGUCCUGCCCUCGUGGUUCACGCGCCCUCGUGGUUCAGCAGUGGUCAGUACACAAAUCUAGCUGCCAGUCGGAUCCAAGGGCAGGCAUUUGCAUUGUGGUUGUGUUUGAACAUGGAGAUGUCAUUAUUAUUGUCAGGCACCAUACAUCCUCUCUCAGUUUCACUCCGCCUCACACACGGAUAGCACACCAGGGACCCGACACCAUGCAUGCCGAUUUCAUAUUAUUAAUAUUUAAUUUUUUUAAUGGUUGUUGAAACUAUAUUGUUGAUAUUUUUAUACAUAAUUUACGACCUAAUUUGGAUAUAUUUUUGAAAUAUUCCGAAAUCUUAAAUUCACACGUCUAGAGAUACAGUUAGUCCAAUCUGAUGUUUCCGAUUAUAAAAAUGAACAUAAAGAGAUAGGAAGCGAGAGACGUGAGGGGGAAAGUUAAAUUAGGGCCUAAGGGGUGAAGUUAGGGUUCCAGGUGAGCUGUCAUCACUACGUGUUUUUAAUCGAAAUUGGAAUGUCAGCAAUCGUCAGAUCUUGAGCCAACAGUUGAGACUGCCUCGGAAUGGUAAUUAGGUCUGCGCGAGCUUGCAUUGUGGCCUUCCUUGAAACCUUGGACAUAGGUGUUAUAUUAUUAUGUUCUUGCCAGCACACAGCAGUGAAGGACGACACAGUUGAGAUGUGCAUCACAUUUUCUAUAUGAAGGAUAUGUUUAGCAAACCUAAGAUUUUAGAAUAAAAAGAAAAAUCAUGGGAGCCAAAGCGCCACAUAGUUCUUCCAGGUAAAAAAAAAUCAUCCACUGGACCAGCACAUAGUAACGAUCCAAAAAGUCCAUAUUAAGAUUUUUUGAUAGCAGAAAAAACAUAAAAUGUCUAAUAUUUGUAGUAUUAAAAGGAAAAAUAAUAUAUUCACGUGACCUUUUUCCCGUAGCAAGGCACCGGUACGUGGUCAGACUUAAUGCACGAUGCCUAAGCAUCCAUUGGGCCUACCCUCGUGUGGAUCACGCGCAACAGGACACGGCUCACAAGCUAUGAUGUGCAGCAGUCGCUCAGAUGGCUGAAAGGUACCCUUAAUUUGAAUGGUACCAUAUAUAUAUAUAUAUAUAUAUAUAUAGUAAACAAGACAAACCACCGUUGAUACUACUUUGCACUACUUGAUACAUAUAUCUCCACCAAAAGCGAGGCACGUGGGGAGGAGAGAUAUGUGGUUGAUGGUGCGGGCACGUGGCGAGUGCACCGUACGAAAAUUUUGCUCGUGUCGGACGACUGAUGUGAAGCAUUACCCAAUCUUAAUUAUCUCCCAUAAUCCAAAACUCACAAAAACAUCAAAAAUCCGCCGAGAAUAAAUUAAGUAAACCAUGCACACACAGAUAAUAAAAUUGCUAAUAAGGCCAGAGACAAUACAUAAACAUAUUAGACUGUUCAUGACACAUAUCACGGUGGAUAGUGUCUGUGUCCUUAUUACAAGCAAUGAGAGAUGCUUGUCACCACACACACGCGCACAGAUGCACAACAUACAUAUAGUUGAGACCAACAGAUGGAUCAACUAGAGGUCACCCCAUAUGGUGAACAAUUUAUUGGAGAUAAACAUUAACAUAACUUGGCCAUAGCUUGAAGCAUAGCAACAUAUGCCUAUGAACGGCGUUCAUGCUAUCAUUUUAGGCUUGUCCGCUUCUUCCAUCUUAGCAAGCACUUCCAUUUCUACCAUCUUAGAAGCAACUGUCAAAUUGAGAUAUGGAAAUCCCAUUAGCGCAUGAGUUAAUUUUGCAGUGAAAAUAGAGUACAAGAUAUCUUCAUGAUGUAAGUAACAUGCCUGAAGUUGUGAGAUGGGAAGUGAAGUCAACAAAUUACAUUAACGGAAAUGCAUGGAAGGCCACACAUACGUAUUAGUCCAUGAUAUGCUACAAAGCUUGUAUGUACAUAUAGCAAAUUAAAUGCAUUAAUUGAAUAGAGUGAGUUUAGUGAAUUUACCAGAAUCGUCCAGAAAACAUGGGAAACAGCAAGUGUUCUUGCAGACUGCGUCGGUGCCACCCACAGCAAUACAACCAAAACAACAUGCUUUUGCCCGAGCGGCUGCGCAGCAGCCGCACUCUGCCGCGGUGGCCGAGUUAGCAUUGAGGCUCAAGAUGACCAGGCACAUGAUCACCAUCAAAGCGGUGGUAGUCCUCUUUCCCUCCAUUGCCUCCUCUUGCUGCUACCUUCCUUGGUUACCUAGCUAAGUUUAUUGGUUUUGUGUUGAGAGGUGAUUCUUGCAUUGAAUGGACGUUGCCGCGGCUGCAAUUUAUAGGCAGCUGCGCUAUGUGAUGAUAUGGACAAGGUGCAAAUGGGUGGUCCUGAUAUGGAUAAGGUGCAUGCGAAUGGCUGUCUACUUGUAUAGUGGCGCUCCAAUGUACAUACGUAUGUAUCUUAUGCAUGUAUACAGUUGAUGGAUGUACAUGUUUGUUGCACAAAUUAUUCUGAACCAACUCUUCAUAACAGGUCUUUGUUACCAAGUAAUUUUACUUUUGCACGUUUCAGCCGAGAGGCAGAAGAGAAUAUUUUACAGAGAGGGCAGAGAAGGAGGUUGGCGGAGGCGCCGUGGUAGGGUUCCCCGUGUCGCCAAGAUUUUUGCAUUUUAGAUGUGUGUAUUGAUCACUUCGUCGUGCUCGCGGGGCCCAACUCCAGGUUGUACCCCAGCAGACCACGUUCUGUUUCUCUGCCUCCAAUGAGCAUGCAUGCCUCCACAAGGACCACAAGACUUAGUAAAAAAGCUAAACUUUGCAACACGAUGUAUACAGAACGUUUUGAAAUGUACUCUCGUUAGGCAUUCACCUCCUUAACAAUCACUGCGACUGUAAAAGAGGUACAUCGACGCUAGCUAAAUAAACCACUAUAAGAUUUAGCAAGAGAUCAUUUUAUACAAUCCUGUAACGAAACAAUUUGACAAUUAUAGUGUCCAUAUAUUUUGACAAAAAAACGUUUAAAUUAUAUAAGGAGGUGGGCCCGAAAACGGUUGGAUUACAUCGAGAACGUUUUGAAACAGUUGGCGGAGCAGGAUUCUGGCGUGGAGCAUCUACAUUGUCGCGCGCGCGGACUGCCGGAGUAGGCACGCUCGACUUGUCCCAUCGCCAGCUAAAUGAUUUAGUACCGGAUGGUCUCUAGUACCGGUUGGAGCUACCGUCCACCAGGAGCUUUUCUAGUUUGGAACUGGUACUAAUGCUAAUAUUAGUAUCAGGUCAAAAACAAUCGGUACUAAGGCUAGGGAUGACACGUCAUUUUUCUAGUAGUGUGUGCAAUUGGUUUUGUAAUUAGUCUAUAUUUAAUACUUCUAAUUAGUAUCUACACAUUUUAUGUGACAGGGACUGAACUUUAGUCCGUGGAACCAAACACCCCAUAAGUAUGUUUGGUGCUGUAAGGAUUUCGGUUUUAUUUAAUUUCCUAGGCAUUUAAAUUUCUUUCUAAAAUAAGUUAAUGAAUCAUAGGAUCUCAUUGUUGUAUUCAAGCUGGUGCAUUGAUUUUGCCUAUAAAACCCGCCGCGGUCUUCGCAGCCCCCAUCAAACCCUAGCGCCCUUGCCACAAGCUCAGCACCGCUGCCGCCCGAGCUCGAGCACUAGCACCCACCCAUCGCCGUUGCCUUCCCGUCGAUGGGAUCACCGCCCGGAGCUUCGCAUCGUGGUAAGGAAGCCGCCCGUGAAGAUCCCAUGUGCUCCUAUGCCCUCUACCGCGUCCCCGAGUUCCCGGAGUUGCUAGUCUCCCACCGAGCCGACUCUCCGAGCUUCACGUCACUGGUGCCGCUCCGAAGACCUAGUUCGGUUCGCCAUGCACCUCGCUUCAUCCUGAGCUAAACCCCAUAAUGAAUGGUGGUCGGAUGCUCGCCGCCACGGCGCGUCGUCUUUUCUGUCGCCCGUGCAUUGCCUAUCCCCUUCCAGCCGAUUGCAGCUGUCCGAUCGCAAACCGGUGGCCCUGAUCGGAUACCAAGGUCAAUACCGGUCGAACCGAGCCGUGCGCUGCUUUUGCAAGAAGGCCCCUGUUUUUCUCUCUUUUUGCACCUGAGGUCCUACGCAGUUCAAAAGUAAUAAGAUCUAGGUCCUUUUUCUUUUGUUUUAGCCCGUGUUCUUUUAUAAAAUCCCGCCCACUAUUCUGUUUGGUCUUUUGACGCGUUAGACCUUCUUUUUAUAUGUUUAAUUAGGUUUUAGGUCUCGAUUUCUUUAAGUUUAGCCCUUGAAAGUUUAGUUCUCUCGCAGUUAAGCCCCUGAACCUUGUUUAGCUCAUAUCUUAAGCGUUUUAAAUCCGUUUUAACAGAUUCUUGCGCCUAUAAGUUCAUGUUGACGCAUAGAUUAGUUGACUUAUACGAACCUUGCUGAUUCAGCUCCUUGAUUGUGCUUCAGAUCUCGCUAGGGAAGAAUAAUGGAUGGGCUUUGGUUGAGCUUGUAGAUCGACUUGCAGUUGCAGUGAAUGAGCAGAGGAUUGGCAGUGAAUAAGAUCAGGCCGCUGCCCUGCUUGGUAGGGAAAAUAUCUGCUUGCUACCAAGGCCUGUGACGCAUGGACCCCAUUGAGAGUGCAUUAUUGACAAGGACUUAAAGCCAAGGGCUCCACACCUGUCAUUGAUCAGCUGUCUGCUGGGCGCUGCAAGGAGGUAGUGCAUGUUUGACAUAAAGAAGCAGGUGGCCCAGGAUUUACGAAAAAUAAGGAUCUAUUUGAUACCCUUGCUUAUAUUUAGGGGCUAAAAGUUGCUUAUUUGAAGUUGCUUAUUUUUAAUCCUAGCUGUUUGAUUGCAUGGGCUAAAGAGCAUUGAAUGAGGUGGAUAUUGUCAUGUUUGCCUCUAAUGAUUGCUUCCCAUCACAUUUCUCCCCCCUCAUUCAACGAGGGAAGGAGGUGUAAAGUGCACCUUUUAGCCCCGAUAAGUAACCCUUGUGUUGUUUACGGGCUGAACAUAAGUAGCUAAAGUUUAGCUCCAAUAAACAAGAGUGUUUGGUAUUUUUGGGGUUAAAAGGGGCUAAACUUUAGCUGCUUAUGCAUAAGCAAGGCCAUCCAAAUAGGCCCUAAGUAUGUUUGGCGUUGUAAGUAGGUUUUAUUUAAUUUCCUAGGCAUUUAAAUUUCUUUCUAAAAUAAGUUAAUGAAUCAUAGGAGUUCAUUGUUGCAUUCACGCUGGUGCAUUGAUUUUGCCUACAAAACCUGCUGCCGUUUCCGCAGCUCCCAUCAAACCCUAGCACCCCCGCCACGAGCUCCAGCGCCGCUGCCGCCCGAGCUUGAGCACUAGCGCACACCCAUCGCCGUCGCCUUCCUAUCAAUGGGAUCACCGCCCGGAGCCCGUGUCAUGGUAAAGAAGCCGCCCGUGAAGAUCCCGUCCACUCUCGUGCCCUCUACCGCGUCCUCGAGUUCACCGGAGUUGCCAGUCUGCCACCCAGCCGCCUCUCCGAGCUUCAUGUUGUCGUUGCCACUCUAGCUGCCUCUCUGAAGACCUAGAUCGGUUUGCCGUGCACCCCGCUUCAUCCUGAGUUAAACCCCAUCAUGCCACGUCAUAGUAAGGAAGCUGCUCAUGAAGAUCCCGUGCGCUCCCGUGCCCUCUACCGCGUCCCCAAGUUCACUGGAGUUGCUAGUCCACCACCGAGCCGCCUCUCCGAGCUUCACUUCACAGUCGCUGCUCCAGCCACCACUCUGAAGACCUAGAUCAGUUCGCUGUGCACCCCACCUCAUCCUGAGCUAAACCCCAUGACGAACUGUGGUCGGAUGCUCAUUUUCGAGUGAAUUCCGGCGAGAUGGUCGCCCGCCGCCGCCAUCUCCAUCGCCCAUGCACCGCCUGUCCCCUUCCAGCCGAUGUCCGAUUGCAAACCGAUAGCCGAAAUCGGAUGUGGUCACCAGGAUUAAUACCAGUCAAACUAAGCCACGCGUGCCGCUUUUGCAAGAAGGCCCCUAUUUUUCCCUCUUUUUGCACUUGAGGUCCUAUGCAGUUCAAAAGUAAUUAGAUCAAGGUCCUUUUUCUUAUGUUUUAGCCCUAUUCUUUCAUAAAAUCCCGGCUGCCAUCCUGUUUGAAAUAGAUACGGUUAUAGAUAUGCAAACAUCUGCAUAUUUCCAACCGUAUCUCUUUCGAACGGGAGACGCCUAACUAGGUUACGUGACAUACGAACAUCAUACGGAUAGAGAGGGGUAGGAUGUCUCACCUUGCUAUCCUACAAAGUGACGACUCGAGGACAGUAAUGUAGCCUCUCCUUCAAAAAAAGAACAUACUACUAUCAAGUUAAAUUUUUGACAGCACCUCCCCUGCACGUGGAGGUUUCCAUAACCUGCAUCAAAUAAAACGGCACGAUGGCUGACAACCACAUCUACAGCACCAGAAUGGCACGAUGGCCGACUUCCACAUAAAGUUCUUAUACCUUAGAUUGCCAAGUCAAACAUCCUUUUCUAAUUUCUAAAACAAAAGCCCUCCCACCUCUCUAUCUUAUACUUUCCUAUUUACUAAUUGCUUUUGUAAUUUCUAAUUUCUAUUUCAUCCUACCACCUCUGUACCCUUUUCUCAUUUCUAAUUCCAAUUUUCUAACUUGAAGAGCAAAGAUUGAUUACUAGGAGGGGUGAGGGACGCCGGCCUAGAGAGGCGAGGGGACGUCCGGCGGCGGCGGGUGCGUCGGGGGUAGGAUGCCAGGGGCGGCUGCAGGGGCGCCGGGUUGGGGGCGGCCGGGAUCGAGGGCACCAGUAGCGGGGGCACCGGGCCGGGGGCGGCCGGCGGGGCGGGACGCCAGGGCCGGGGCGACGGGCGCCGGUGGCGAGGCCGCCCGGCCGGUGGUGGCCGGCGUGGCGCCUGGGCCGGGGGGGGGGGGCGGGCGGGGUGCGGCGCGGCGCGCCGGGGCAGGGCGCCGAGGCUGGGUGGUGGGGUACGGGGCGGCGGGCGGGGGGUGGGGGGAGGGUCGGCGGCGGGGCGCGGGGGCGGCCAGCGGCGACGGCGGAGGGCGUCGGUGGUGUUUCGGAAGUGAUACGGAGGGGGUAGAGAGAUUCGUUUUCGCGGCUGAGUGUUCGAGUCAGAAGGCCGUGCGGCUUAAGUCAGGUGGUUUGCCGAGUGCGCGCGAUCUGGCACUCGGCAAAGUCAGAAGUUUUGCCGAGUGUCAGAUCGCGGGCACUCGGCAACUGCAGCUUUUGUCGAGUGCCCUGGAUUCGGCACUCGGCAAAGUGAAGUUUUAAUUUUUUUUAAAAAAAUUUAAUCGGAACACGGGCGUGCCAGCGGGCCCGUGACAUACUUUGCCGAGUGUGUAGCAAAAACACUCGGCAAAAUAUUAUCUUUACCGAGUGUUUUCGCUAGGCACUCGGCAAAGUACACUUAUAUUUCAUGUACACUUUUUCAAUAACGUGUUUUACUAACCUUUUUCUGAUAUACUUGGGAAAAACCUUAUCAAAUUCACUCAACAAUGGAUAUAUGGUUUUUCUACUGACAUUAUUCCAUUAUUUCAUUCAGUUAUAGCUCAAAUUGAAUUUAUAUCUAUUAAAAAUCAAUAAUUGCAUUUAAUAAAUAAAAAAUACCAAACGGAUCUGAAAAAUUUCCAAAAUUUGACAUGAACCAAUCUAUGUUGUAUGUUGCCUGUACAAAAAGCUUUGAAGUCAAACCCCAAUUCAAGUGUCACUUGGACUCCAAAUCUUAUCGGAUCCUUUCUAACUUCUAUGAAUCCUUUCGGGAGAUGAGUCGGUUUGUAAGCAUCAUAUGUCAUAAAUUGGGCGAAACCUUCUCAAUUUUUUACCACAGCCUCCACAUAUAAUAUCAUGACACCUUGACAAAUCUUGUGAUUUUCAGACUUCGUUUGCUUUUUUUAGAAUUUAACAACCAUUCAACCACAUGUUCGUGAUCGUGUUUUCUAAAAAAAUGUUCAAAAUUUCUUUUCAUUUCCUGGUUGAGACCUCAAUCCGGAUUGAAUAAUAUGAAUAUGAUUUUUUCACUGAUUUUAAUCCAUUAUUUAAAUCACUUGCAGUUAAAUUUGACUUAAAUAAACAAAUUCCUAUUAAUGCUAUCAAUUCAUUAAAAAUAGCAAACAGAGAAAAAAUAGACCAACUUUUAAGAUGGAUUACCAAAUGUCAUAUGUGGGGAGUAGAAAAAGUGUGGAGAGCAGAGGUGGAAAAAAAAGUUUUGCCUUUGCCAAGUGCCUACACAAACACUCAACAAACUUUGCGGAGUGCCUAUUGAAAACACUCAGCGAACUUCUGAGUUUGCCGAGUGUCUGGAGGGAGCACUCGGCAACCUACUUAUUUGCCGAGUGUCCGCGUCGGACACUCAGCAAAGUACUAACGGCUGGCACACUCCCCUAACGGACGGCGCACGUGCAAGCCAUGUGCUGGAGAUUUAUCGAGUGUCAAAUCGUUGCCGAGUGUCGUGUGGAUGUUUGCCGAGUGUCUUAUUUGUGACACUCGGCAAAGCUAUUGUUUGCCGAGUGUAUUAUUUAUGCCGAGUGUCUUCCAGUAUACACUCGGCAAAUGAUGUCUUUGCCGAGUGCUCGACAUAAAGCACUCGGCAAAAAUUUUACACUCGGCAACAUUCCUGUUUCCGGUAGUGAGUGACCCGGGACUAAAGACCCCCGUUGUCUCUGAUUGCUUUAUUCCGGAUGGAUUUUCAGGAGAUUUGCUCCCUACCAAUAGGGACUAAAGGCAAGUUUUCCACUUAUAGCAAACCAGUUAGCCCAUUGUUGAUGGAACGCAUCACUAGAAACAGCUCGGGAUCCACUUGUCCAAUAAUCGAGAGGGCCUAUAUAUGGACCACGUGUGCGGAUCCCUAAUUAGGAAAAAAGAAUAAUGGAGUAGGACAUCUCCAUGCUCACCUAGUAGCCGCUGCUAGCUUGUGCGUGUGGAACACGAGUGCCGGCCCAGUUGGCGCUAAGACAUCGUACGUGCAUUAAGGCUACGAUCUCUUUCUUCUAACUCAUGCUUGUGCUAUUAUACAUUAUUGCAUGAUCAUCAAGAUAAGAUCGUAUAGUGACUGAGUGAGACAUGUAUGUACUAACAUGCAUUUAAGCCUCGAACUGUGUGUUGUUACGUGAGCUGCCUCCUCACCUCGCCUCUGAAUUAUUGAACCGUUUCCAACAGUGUUGGUCUCAAAUAAAUUUGACACCAAACAGAUUUAUGAAGAAGAGAGAAUAAUACUUGGAAUUGGAAAAAGUUUAUCUCUCUUUACAAUGGAGUAGGGCUCCCUUUUAUAGUGACCCAUAAGCCACUUUACAUUUGGAAAAUGUCCUUCCUCAACCACUACAUUAAUUCCUAGGAUAUGCUGUACAUAAAGGUCAUUUGAGGUAACGUGUACAAAUGAACUCUUCCACAUGGUCACGUUUCUCAUGCCUCCUGUUUUCCAACCUCGAGACAUCAUCUUCACGCCAAGUUGAUCAUCUAGCCUCGAGGCUCCAUCCACGAUCCAGAAUGAACGUCCAGGCUUGAGGCUCCUUCUUCGUUAAGCUUUGUUGAGAACUCAUAACCUCACAUAGUUCUCCUCCGAGUAUUGUUCCCGACUCAGAACACUCGAGGUUUAGCUCAGUUGGAGUUUAGCUAUUACUGUUGCUAGUCACCAGCCUCGAGCCCCUCCAGAAGCAAGGUGAUGCGAGGGUACGAGUUUUACUAUUAAAGGUGUUUCCAUAGAAUGUGCGAGGUUAAAGCACUUGCAGCAAAAGCGUGGAGCUGCUUUCAACCAGAGUGCAAUAAUGCAGCCGUGCCCAUCUUGGUCUUGGUCUCCGCCUGAACUAUAGCAGAUGCUGGCAGCGGUAGCAGGGUGGUCCAUUAUAUCUAUGGAUGGCAAUGGUCGGAUUCGGAUGGAAUCGAAUUCGAAUAGCACUUUUUACCACAUACUAAUUCAAAUCCGAAUUCGGAUUCGGAUGUUCUCGAAUGCGAAUGCAAAAUGGAUGGUUCGAAUUCGAAUACUUAGCGGAUUUUUGCAUAAUAUUAAUCGAAUAGAAUUCAUUAAAUUUAGCCAAGAAAUUAAAUUUUCUGAAAUUAAAUACUUUCCCUUCGCCCCAGCGGCGGCCUAACUCCCAGGACGGUGGCGUGCGGGGCCCGAGCAUCCCUGGCCUCUAGUGGCGUGGCGGGGCGGCAUCCAGCAGCAGCGGCGGGGCUCGGCCUCCGGUGGCGCGCGGCCAGCCCGACCUACCCGGUCAGAGGUGGCGCAGCGGUGCGCGGGCCUCCCCGACCAGAGCCGGUGGGGAGCGGUGCGCGGGGAGGACCUCCCCAGCCGGAGGUAGCAGGGCGCGACCUCCCCGGCCGGAGGUGGCUCCCUGUGGGGGCGCGGCCGUGACAGCUAGCGAGGCAAUAAUUGCUUCCGUACGCAGCAAUAAUUGCUUGUGCGACACCGUGUUAUUACUCUGGUACAGUACUCCCUCCGUUGCAGUACACUGGUCCAGGCGUCAGGACACUGCUCCUGCCCUCGUGGUUCACGUGCAUCAGGCCAGCAGACAAGCUAUGAUGUUGCCAACAGUGUUUGUUUGAACAUGGAGAUGUCAUUGUGAUUGUCAGGGACCCGACACCAUGCAUGCCGAUUUCAUAUUCUUAAUAUUUAUUUUUUUAAUGGUUGUUGAAACUAUAUAGUUACUCCAAUAUCACGUUUCCGAUUAUAAAAAUUAACAUAAAGAGAUCGGAAGGGAGAGCCCGCAUAAUGAAGCCGACGCGUAUAAUAAGCACUAGAGCCGGCAUUUAUACAAACGGGUACGCAUAGUAAAAACUAGAAUUUAUAAAUAAAUGAAGAUAUUCAAAUAUCUGGCUUACUUUUUUCAUUAAUUUUGCAUGAAUAAGGGAUGAUUCAUUAAUCAUUAUUGAACAAAUUGGCACACAUGCUUCGUGCCCGCGUUGUGAGCAUUAUGCGAUGCCACUGAGCUGCACCACCACGGUAGAGGGCCUGUUUGCGAUGCCACCGAGCUGCACCACCACGGCAGAGGGUCUGUUUGGGAAGGGGAAGUUAAAGUUUAACACCCCCCAUUUAACACCUUUUUAACAAAAUGGCUGCUAAACACUUGUGUUAAAAGAGUAGUGUUAAAAUUUAACACCUCUCUUUUCAUAAACACAUGGAGGGGGUGUUAAAAUUUGCUAAAUGUGUUAAAAGUGGUCCCCUCCCCACUUAUUCCUUGGUUGCCCCCCUCUCUCUCCUCCUCUCUCUCCUACCCGCCGCAUUUAAGAGCAUUAUUGAGGGGUAAUGCAGUCCUUUUCCAACAAAAGUGUUAAACUUUAACAACCCUUCCCAAACAUGCCACAAGCAACACCACCGGCUGACUGUGCUAGCGGGGAGCACCCUCACCGCCUGCCCGUGGGGACUUCUUCUGCCGGCCAUCGUGUCUUUGUAGGACCGCCGCGUGAGCCUAUGAGCCACCGGUGGCCGUGCGCCCAAGGGCCAUCACCAUGCCACCUGAGGAUGCUGUCUACCCGGUGCCGCGUGCCUCUGCUAGCUGCUUGCACCUGGGCCGCCGCUGGUCGCCUGCACAGCCACGCGUUACAGCCGCCCCCCUGCGCUGGGCCACCCCAUUUCGUGUUGGAAGAACUGCCACAGUCUCGCGCACUGGGGUUUUGCUAGUGACGACCAUAGCCUCCAAGAUCAAAUGAAAAAGUUGGUACUCAAAACAUACAUCCAUUAAUCUAGUCGUGCUAAUCCUUACCACCAAAUAAAAACUAGCAUGUGUUGUGUUUUUGUGACCCUAAACGAUCACAAAUGAAUAACUUAUGGGCGUUGCUAGCCUAUAAGUUAUGGGCGUUUGUGACCCUAGUCGCGCCGGGGUCUUGCUGGUGACAACCAUGGUCUUCGCGAUAAAGUAUUAAGUCUCAUCGAGUUCUACAAUUUUGAUAUAAAAUUUCUAUUCAUCCGAGAUCAAAUGAAAAACAAAUGAAAAAAUCCGAAGUAUUAGGCUUCAUCGAGCUCUACAAUUUUGAUAUAAAAUUUCUAUUCAUCCGAGAUCAAAUGAAAAAAUCCGAGAUCAAAUGAAAAGUUGGAACUCAAAACAUACAUCCAUUAAUCUUGAUAUAAAAUUUCUAUUCAUCCGACAUCAAAUGAAAAAGUUGGUACUCAAAAUAUACAUCCUUUAAUCUAGUCGUGCUAAUCCUUACCACCAAAUAAAAAAACUAGCAUGUGUUGUGUGUUUCUGACCGUAAACGAUCACAAAUGAAUAACUUAUGGGUGUUGCUAGCGUCCCGGACGCUAGCAUCGGACGCAUGAGCAGCCGUCCGAUCGGGUCCGACACCACUUCACGAUCUGUCUUAAAAAAAAGUCCCACCGAAACAUUGUUCCAUGUUGCAUGAAAUACCCCACUAUCCAUCGCCAGGUCUACAGCAAGCACCACCUUCCAAUCUGCUGCUCACCCAAGCUAAAUAGGGGCAUUAAAAUUGCAGAAAUAUGUCACAUAUCCUUGUCAAAUUAAACUAAAUCGCAACAUCCGAAAAUUUCUUACACAAAACCAUGAAACAUAUCGAUUAGAUAGGUGUAACAAGAUGGAAUAUGGUAUCCAACAUAUAGAUUCCGAAAAACAGAUGAAACAUUAUGUAACGAUUGUUGAAACAGUCGAGAAAUAUAGAUGUAACGAUUAAAAUUUAGAAAAGAAGCUUUAUGCAAAUUGCAAAAAGCUGAAAUAAGUGGUUGAAACAUUUCGAAUCACCAAAUGCCACAUUUGAAAUGGCUACAUGAAACAUCACGAAAUCAAUUGCAACAGUUGAAGAUGAAAACAUUCAAAUGCCUUGCCUUUCUCCAGAUUUGACCCUCCAAGCAUGAGUCCAGCCAUUUGCACAUUAGACCCUUGGGAGGAGCUCACCGGAGAACAACAAGACCGUGUUCUCCAACAAUUUUCUGAUCAAAUUGCAACAGACAAAACAAAGCAUUGCAACAUCUGGCAUCACGAGCUACAACAUCAACAAGUUAGGAUCAGGAGAAAGAGGGAAAACACAAGCCUAACAACCCCAAGACAAAACUGAUGUACUCAUCAUACAUCACGGCUUGCCGUGCACAGAGAUGAAGGCCGCCAAGCUCAAUCGAGACAGAGACGACGUGAUAGUGCUCCAGAUCGACGGUCCCCAUCAAUUGUUGCGUACACUGCCAAAAGCAAUGGAAGAAGAAGGGUCGUCCCUGCUCGACCUCCGUAGAUGAGCGCAGAUUGGGGGAAACCGUAUAGAGUGCCGCUGACAGCACAGGCGAGGGGGCUCAGGCUUGAUUCAGGGUGAGGGUAGCGGGUAGCAUGAGGAGACAGUCAGGUUUCAUAGGAGAGAGGCGGAGUAGAGAGCUCUGGUGACUCGGUGAGGAGGGUGCGGCACGGAGAAAGGUGUGUAGCUGAAGGAGCUACAUGGUUGGGGCGAGGCGAGCGUAGAGACUAGAGAGGGAAAAAAAGCAUGGGGAGGAGACGAUAUGUGGUUGAUGGUGCGGGCACGUGGUGAGCGCACCGUAUGAAAAUUUUGCUCGCGUCGGAUGACUGAUGUGAAGCAUUACCCAAUCUUAAUUAUCUCCCAUAAUCCAAAACUCACAAAAACAUCAAAAAUCCGCCGAGAAUAAAUUAAGUAAACCAUGCACACACAGAUAAUAAAAUUGCUAAUAAGGCCAGAGAUAAUACAUGAACAUAUUAGACUGUUCAUGACACAUAUCACGGUGGAUAGUGUCUGUGUCCUUAUUACAAGCAAUGAGAGAUGCUUGUCACCACACACACGCGCACAGAUGCAUGACAUACAUAUAGUUGAGACCAACAGAUGGAUCAACUAGAGGUCACCCCAUAUGGUGAACAAUUUAUUGGAGAUAAACAUUAACAUAACUUGGCCAUAGCUUGAAGCAUAGCAACAUAUGCCUAUGAAUGGCGUUCAUGCUAUCGUUUUAGGCUUGUCCAGCUUCUUUCAUCUUAGCAAGCACUUCCAUUUCUACCAUCUUAGCAGCAACUGUCAAAUUGAGAUAUGGAAAUCCCAUUAGCGCAUGAUUAAUUUUGCAGUGGAAAUAGAGUGCAAGAUAUCUUCAUGAUGUAAAUAACAUGCCUGAAGUUGUGAGAUGGGAAGUGAAGUCAACAAAUUACAUUAACGGAAAUGCAUGGAAGGCCACACAUACGUAUUAGUCCAUAAUACGCUACAAAGCUUGUAUGUACAUAUAGCAAAUUAAAUGCAUUAAUUGAAUAGAGUGAGUUUAGUGAAUUUACCAGAAUCGUCCAGAAAACAUGGGAAACAGCAAGUGUGCUUGCAGACUGUGUCGGAGCCACCCACACGAAUACAAAGCUGACAACAUGCUUGUGCCUCGUGGGAUACGCAGCAGCCGCACUGUGCCGCGGUGGCCGAGUUAACAUUGAGGCUCAAGAUGAACAGGCACAUGAUCACCAUCAAAGUGGUAGUCCUCUUUCCCUCCAUUGCCUCCUGUCGCUGCUACCUUCCUUGGUUACUAGUAAGUUUAUUGGUUUUGUGUUGAGAGGUGAUUCUUGCAUUGAAUGGACGUUGCCGCGGCUGCAAUUUAUAGGCAGCUGCGCUAUGUGAUGAUAUGGACAAGGUGCAAAUGGGUGGUCCUGAUAU